RNAcentral lists this long non-coding RNA (46503 nucleotides) under Setaria viridis. Its description in RNAcentral is "long non-coding RNA (SVIR_LNC004798)". The record is from RNAcentral. Lineage: Eukaryota; Viridiplantae; Streptophyta; Magnoliopsida; Poales; Poaceae.
UCAACGCAGGUGUAUCGACUCACCGAUCGGGUUCAGAGGCAGUGGCCGAGAUGAUCAUGGUACCUAAAAUAGUCGAUGGGUUAAACCAUGUGGGUAUGGCCGAAUUGAUCCUAACGGGUGCAUGGUAUAUCUGGUGGGAACGCAGGAAGUUUGUACAUGGAGAGUCUGUCCAAAAUCCGACAAGAGCGAGUAUGGCAAUAGCAACAUUGACAGCAAAUUAUCAGAGAUCAAUGAACAAGAAGAGUAAGAAAGCAGAUGGAUGGAAAAAGCCCCCAGAGGGCAGGAUAUUGCUGAAUGUUGAUGCAAGUUACAAAGCUGAAUCGAGCACAGGCAGCACAGGCGCAAUCAUUAGAGAUUCAACGGGAAAUUUUAUGGGAGCCAGGGUCUGUUACUUUGAAAAUAUUGUAGAUGCUGCUAUGGCAGAGGUGACAGCUCUUAAGGAAGGCCUGGUGUUGGCGCAAUUGUUGGGAUGCAAUCGAAUUAUGAUUCAGUCAGAUUGUGUGGAGGUAGUUGAGACGAUGAAACAAGACGGCAUCUCAGCGACAGCUAGUGCUCCGAUUUAUGAUGAGUGUUUCAUACUAUGGCAAGAUUUUGUUUCUAUUUGCAUCGAUCAUUGUAAUCGGGAGGCGAACUGUGCAGCACAUGAGUUAGCUAGAGAAGCAAUGAAAAGCAAAUUAUCUUGUAACUGGGUCGAUGAACCCCCUAGUUUCAUUCUAGGAGCUUUGGCGAACGAUGUAACUAUUAUUCAAUAUCAAUAAAGGGCGCCAAAUGGCAUCAAAAAAAAAAAUCUAGAGUAUGAAAAUGUCACCUGGAAAAUGUAAAUUGCAGUCGACAACACGUAAGCCAUCUUCUAACGGUUUCGAUUUAAACGGUCUUUUUCUUUUUUUGUAAUAACGAAUAAGUUUUAUGGGUUGGGUUUGUGUGGUGACGGGUUGGAUACUUGGAUUUCUAUGUUGAUUGGGUAAAAAAAAUGUAUUUUUCGUUUCUUAGUAAUGCAAAAGUGUGACAUUCAUUCCUCAUGUUUCAUUUGAUGCAAAUCAUUCUCUUAAUUAAAUCGGUGCUUUUAUCAUUCCUACUUUAGUUUAACAAUAGUUUAGUAUCAUAUAAUAUAGAUUUUGAUCAUCUCUAAAUCACUUUUUUAGCAGCUCCAGGGCCCGUUCGGCAAGUCGAACAUAACUUGUGUUCGAUAGCUGCUGUGUGAACAUUGAUUGGUGGGAUCUACGUAUCUCUACCUAAUAUUAAAAUGCAGUUGUUUCUUCCAACCAUCGUGGUUGUUUUGAAAAAAAAUCCCUCAACUUUUUCGUACUCAACCCGCGGUUCUUGGAAGAGUUCUUGACGAUGGAAGGCUGGAACUCUCCCGUCGUGGUUGGCCAGGACUCAUAGGCAGCAGAAACAAUAGGGAGGCCACCCUCCGCCGCCCACUCACCUUGCCCCAUGCAUGCUGCUUAUUAUUGCUGCUCCCCUCUAUGUCCAUCUGCUUCAGCCAUGAGCCCAUGGUGCAUUGAUCCUCAACGUGGUGCAGCGAGGGAAAACGACUACAGGAGUAGCUCGUGAGGCUACACGUCAUGCUUGAGCUCACCCUCAAGGCCCUUGCAUGGACAUGCUGCACUAGCAACCACAAGAAGACUUGGAGACGAGUAGUUGAGAGAGGGAAUGAGAGAGAUGCAGGUGGAGCCAAUGCUUGGCAUGGGUGCUCUGCAGUGCAGCUGCCAUUUGCCUAUUUGAAUGAUGAAGGAGCACAGAAGAAAUUAAGAGAGAGGUAGGGAUGGUGCUUGGUACGAUCGCCUCUUAGAUGUGCUUCGUGUUUUGGGCAAAAAAAAAUUUAAACUGUGAAGUAAAUUUAACUAUAAAAAUUAGAUACAAAUGAAUAAGAAGAGAAUUAAAUAGCAAUAAAACUAAUCCAAAGAAUAAAAAAAAAUUGUAGUUCAAGGAUCUUUCCAUAGAUAAAAAGUUAGGAACUGAAGGAUUUUUUAGAACACUCGAACUUAAUGUGCGAAUAAUUAAGAAUUUGAGCGAGAGCUCUAUAUUGAAUCUUUUUGAAAAUUAGAUGCCAAAAGAGAUGGACCAUAUCCUCCACGGUGAAGUGAUGCCACUCUUGAUUGAAGCACCUACAAAACGCUCCUUGAUGCAGCUCAUGUGGACGGCUGAGUAAGGUGAAAGUCGAGUGAGCAAAAGUGGUGGCAAGGUCAUGACAAUCAACGAUAGCAAUUGUGUUUAGCCAAUGACGGUGACUUUACGCUCAACAAAUGACAACUGAAUAUCAUCAAAAUAAGACAACUUGUGAAUAGCAACAGUUGGAUGCUAGAUUUUUUUUCCCUACGUUGCAACGCACGGUCAUAUUUGUAAAAUAGGGCCUGUUUGGCAGAGCUCCACGCAGCUCCAGAUCCUCAAAAACAAUAGCUCCACCACAGAGCAGCUCCAGCGUGGAUCUAUGCUCUCACCGUGGAGCUGAGGAAAAGUGUUUGGCUGAGACAACAGCUCCAGAUCCAGAAACAGAGUUUUUGGUUGGAUUGUCCACUAAUGCCCUUGGUGUUUUUCCAAUUUUUUUCUCAUUUUUUUCUCUUCACGUGGUGUUUUCCCAGAAAUAGAGAUUUUCGCUGUACGUGGUGUUUUCUCAAUACAACUUUGUUCCAAGCAACAUAAUUUAACCAUUGUUGUCAUAUGACAUAAAAUUAACCUUGUUCAUACAUAAAUUAAUUUUUCAUACAUAGAAAAUUAAUUGCUCAAGGCAUCGGAGGAUCGUGAGCCGUCACCCUCUACUUCAUGAUCACGAAGAAGCUUCAGGCUGCUGCUGAACCCAAGAAUGGUAGUCUCUCAGCAGCUGCUCCCCCAGCAUGGGAACAAGCUUGUCCAACAGGCCUUGCAUCAACCUGCAAUAAAAUUUAGUGCAAAUGUCAAAUCAAAGGAUCACUAGUAACUGUGAAAAUUGAUCUCCUCACAGUAACAUUAGCCAGCAUAAUAUGAGAUGUAUUAUGCUGUCUACUCGGUAAAGCGUCUAGACAGAGUCUUUCAGAGACAAUUUUUAUUAAGAUAAGAUUCGGGUGGGAACUGGUGCUCACUUUCAGAGUUUGUUCUUUGUGAACUUUUAUUUAAGAAUCUGAAGAAUGUUGCAAAGGCCUACGUACAGGUUGCCUGGUUUCUCCACUGCUGACAAUGGAAGCAUGCUGAACGGCUUAGUGUAGACCUGUCAAUUUAUAAUCAACAGAUGAGCUUUUACCUUUCUUUGAAGUUGAUAAAGAAUAUAAGAAAUUUUACAAAAGAAUUUGCUCGUAUAUAGAUGUUAUAUGCUACACAAUUUGCUGAAGUACUGAAUGCAGUAAGCACAUCAUACAGAAUGCUCCAAGAACUGUGAACUAGAUCUGGAAUGGUUGAUGCACAUCUGAAGAAUGCUCUCAAAAUGCACCUCAGGGGGUGUCAAUUUGCUCCAAGUUAUACGGUUACUCAUAAAUGCUGCAAGAAUUCAGUAGAUUCGGAAACUCAAAAUGAUGGUUGAAGAACAGACACAUCAUACAUUUUGCAGGAUAGCUAACCGAUGGCAUUGUUUCGCAGUUGCACGACAGCAUCUCGAUGGUGCAGUCAGUGCUCGUCGGGGCGACGCGGAGGUCGAGCACCGGCGCGACCUCAAAGCCCAGGAACCCGAUGUGGCGGAGCGCGCACGUGAAGGUUCCGCAGCCGGACCCCGCCGACGCGAAGCUCUCUAGCGCGCGGUGUUGAGUAGGGACUCCACGCCGUCGGGGUGCCGCAGGAACUCGCCGACGUCGCCGCUGGAGACGCCGUCUGGGAGCUGCACGUGCUCCCGCCGCCUCGCCGACAGCUGCGCCCGCCGUCCUCGCGCCCUUCUCGGCGCGACCUGGCCCGCCCUGGCAUCGUCCUCACCACCGCCGCAGGGAGAAGGAAGCGUCGCGCAGGGAAGAAAAACGGAGGUGGCGGCGGAAAGAAAAGAAAACAAUGCGAACCGGUACGAGGGGUGUGUAAUCGAUGAUACAGGUGGGUAAUUUCCAUCAACUCCACAAGGAAUUACAAAAUUAGCAUUUUGAGAGCACCCCCUAAGGUGCUUCGUGGAUUUGGUGGAUCUAGGAGCUAGAUUUGGGUUUUUUGCGGAUCUGAAUUUUACGGAGCUGGACUGUUUGGUUGGAAAAACUAGGAGCGGAGCUGUUUUGAGGAUCUAGAGCUGCGUGAAGCUCUACCAAACAGGCCUAAAAAACCGCUUUUGCGUCUGCUUUCUCUCGCUAGAACUGACGUAGUGGCAGUUGCGCUGCUCCCGCCGCAUCUGCCGUGUUGCUGAUUUUUUAAUGCGCCUCGCGUCGAACCGAGUUUCGUGGUCGAUUUUCAAGUCUCACAACGAAAUGUCCUAUCAUUAUGUGUAUGGUUCGAUUUGAACUGCUCACUGUUCUUCAUUAAAAAAAAACUGCUCACUGUUCGAUUUUUUCACGCACUGGAGCUUGCCUUAGCCACGUUUUAUGUCAAAAUAGGUGUAGGUGUGAGUCGGUUCCGUUAAUUUUCUAAUUUUUUUUUAUGGAUAGCUAUUUUAGAGGAUUUACAAUUUUUUAUAAAUUAUAUAUUUUUUAUCUUAUUACAUCGCUAAAUGGUAAUUAGAUAGAUAAUUAUGUGGCAUAAAUCACUAUUAGAUAGCACUGAAUCAUUGUUAUUGUUAAGUCGAGGUGGGGAUGAUUAGUGCACUGAUAUUUAGUUAUGGGAUCGUCGCACCAAUUAAAAUAUGAGGGACGAAUGCCACACUUUCAUAAGAAAAGUGAGAAAAUUUCUUAUUUGGCUCUAGUAAAGAUGAUGUUUCCUUAUUUGACCCUGAAAAUUUUGAACUUCCUUAUCUGACACUGAGUUGAACUUUCGUUCCGUAUUUGACACUGCCGUCUAUUCCGUUAGUUAACUCGCAUGAACAGUAACUUAUAAAUUCUUCCUCCCUAUUUUCUUGACCAAAAUGCUAUCCAAAUCAAUAGAUGGAGAUGAACCAAGUUUGCAUAAAAACAAAUAUAUACCAUUUAACAUCUUAAAACUAAAAUUCACCAAAUUAUGCUACUUUAAAAGAUUAUCUAAAUUUUUUGAGCACAAAAGCUUUCAAAAAAUGUCUAAUAUUUUUAUUGUGGGAUGAGGUGAGUUAUAAAUUAUUACCUAUCAUAAGUGACACGAAGACAUUUGUAUUUAUUAACAAAAAAGUACUUUUUAUUACAAACUUGAAAUGUCUCUUUGUCACGUAUGAUAUAUAAUAAUUUUAUAAAUUACUUCAUCCCACAAUCCAAAUAUUAGUUAUUUUUAAAUAAUCUUUGGAAAGUUUUUUAUACCCUAAGAAUUCAGAUAAUCAUUAAAAAGAUCAAAUUUGGUGAAUUUUAGUUUUAAGGUUUAUUAAGUGCUACAUAUUUGUUCUUAUGCAAAAUGGGGUCUUCUCCAUCUAUUGUAUCACUAUUAAAAGUUUCAUGAAGUUUAGAAAUGAUUUGGAUGUUGUUUUGGUCAAUAAAAGAGGGAGAGAGAAUCAUGGGUUACUGUUUACCGUAGUUAACUGACGGAAUAGACAACAAUGUCAAAUAAGUAACGAAAUUUCAACCCAGACAAUGUCAAAUAAGUAACGAAAGUUCAACCUAGUAUUUCUUAUAGUGUUAGAUAAGAAAGUUCAAAUUUUUCAACGUCAAAUAAGAAAGUCUUAUUUUUACUAGGACCAAAUAAGAAAUUUUCUCAGGAAAAUACACUUUUUCAAAAAAAAAAAGGCGGACACUUUAAUGGCCUGUUGGUUCACCAAAACACUACCACCACGACAAAAAGGGGUCCAUGACUAUCAUCUCCUUCCAGAAUUGCAUUAUCUUGCGUGUAUAGGCUUACCAACUAGCGGAGUAGCAUCUAGCCUGUGUUAAAUCAUCUGGAAAACUUUUAGGGCCCGUUUGUUUCGUAGGAAUUGAAACUCAUUCCAAGAAAUACAUUCUAGAUAUUGGAUUCCACCGGAAAUGAAUUACUCAGAAUUUGAUUCAAUUCAAUUUUUUUGUUUGGGUGUUGAUGAAAUUCUUUUCCAUGAAUCUAAUUCCAUAUUCCGUUUGGAUAGCUAAAUAUGGAAUUAAUUCCAUAUUCCGUUGGGAUAGCCCAGUUUGUCACAGACAACCGCAUCACAGAUAUUGGAUUCCAUAUUCAUGUUUGCCCAGUUUGUCACAGACAACCGCAUCACAGAGGAAUACCAGUUUUCUCUACUGGUAUGAACAAAGAAGAUCAGAGAAAGAUAACAUGAGGUCCAGUAGCAGCAAACAAGGUUCAGUAGCAGCAAAGUCUAAACAAAGUCAUACAUUAUGAUCAUACACACUCAAAAUGACAUGACUAAUGAGCAUAGUGAUGGUAAUCAGCAUCUAAGCAUGCAUCACUUUUUGAGUUGCUUUAAGAGCCACCUUUUCCUCAUCCCCACUGGAAGUGCCAACAAAGACUCAUACUUGCGUGCAUCACCGGUCAGGAUAUCAAAUAGGUCCAACAAAGUGUCUUCAUCCAAUCCUUGUACUUCAUUCAGUGUGUCUAGAAUUUCUUUUGAUGUUGGUCCUUUAGGGGCUUCCUCCUUUAGUGCUUCAGCGAACUUGUCCAUUUUUUCAGCUAUCAUAGAGGUAAAAGAGUCACCUGACCGUUGCCUCUUUAAACUUCCUGAAGUUGCCGAUGAUGUGGGCUCUUUGUUACUAAGAUCUUCCUUACUCAUGUCUUUUGAGCUCUCAGCUGUAGUCCUUGCCGCUUCACCGGUAGCAUGGUCUUUGCCAAACACCAAGCUGAUUGAGUCCCAGUACAAGACAGUCUUGUGCCUAUACCCAGAAGCUUCUUUGUUUUUCUACAAAAAACAAAUGGUUAACACAUGUAUAUCCAACCUAAACUCUGUUUUAUACUGCAGAGAUAACACUGCAUAGAUAAUGAUGAUAUUUUGUAAAGCAAGUAUAUCUUCUGACUAAAAUUGUAGGAGGACAACUACAAUCCAAUGGUUAUGUUAAAGACCCAAAUAAUCCCCUCCACUAUUAUGACUAAAGAAGGUUCAGGAGUGCCAUUUGCACUGACACAUCCAACUUCAAGCCACAUGGAAUAACAAUGAACAUAUAAACAUAUGUUGCUUAAAAAGAACAGAAUAAAAUUGAAUGUGCAUUCUAUAGCACGGAAUACCCUUUGACAUUUUGCUAACUGUUAGACAUUUUGACUAACUAUGCUAGCUAUGGGCAAUAUAAUGAAUAACCACUUUUCACAUGGCAAUCAUGCAAACAAAUAUCCAAAUGCAAUCAGGUCUAUAAUAAAAGCAAAAAAUUGAGCAGCCAAUCUCCAGACUCUAAAGGAUAACAAUAUUUAAGAUCUUCAUUUUGCAGAAACAGCAUGAAACUGGGAAGGACAAAAGGCAGAAAUCAUAUCAUUGUGAAAAGUCAACACACUGAAUGCAACACACUGAAUCAUUAUGUACAAGUGAUUAGGCCUCAUUCAGUGUGUUGACUAACUAUGCUAGCUAUGGGCAAUCAUUAUGUUAACAUACAGGUCCUAUUUUAAAAAGUCUACAUAUUAGGUCUACCUUAACAAGUGAUAACCUAAGAAGUUCUGAACUUAACACAAAUUUAAGUAAAUCAGUGGUUUUUGAAACUUACCGCCACAUAUUCUUCCCAUACAGCAUCACUAUCAACAGAUGUUUUGUUUUUGUUCCAAUCCCAACCAAAUCCACUUGAUUCCAGCAUACCAUUGAUGAUAGUGUAGUGUUUGUCAAAGGUCUUGUUCCUCGCCAUGAUAUUGUCUUUUGAGAUAUCCACAUUACACUUUUCUCGGACAUUCUUGAUAGCAGCUGUAUAGACAUGAGACUUCCACCCAUUCUGGCAUCUGUCACCCUUGUUAUAGUACUCCACAAAUGUGUCAAGAAGAGCCUUGUCCAUGUCAUCAUUCCAAGAAAUGUAACCCCUGCCCGAGCCUGACUUCUUGCCCUUCUCCAUAUCCUACAGGAAAAAUGUUCACAAAAGGUUAUUAGUAAAAUAUUAGGAGCAAAACCAAAUAUCAUAAGUUUAAGCAUGUAUUGAUGAUAGAAUUUAUCAUACAUUGACCACGUCUUGCUUGGUAAUCAGCAAACAUUUGGUUAGCUUUGGUAUCCCUAAAAUUGCUCCAUUCAUUUGUUGAUUGAACAUUGGUAAUCAUACCCACUUCACUUUGAACUUCAUGAGGUUCAAAAGAUAUUACUUGAUCAACUUGGUGUAUAAGUAAAUCAUCCAUAUCUCUCUGUCUAUUAAUUACAAAGUUGUGCAAUAUGCAGCAAGCAUUAAUGAUCCUAAUCUGCAAGAAUUUAGUAGAAAUGAGUUGCAUGCUAGCUAGGGUCAUUCAGAGAUGAAUUUCAAGCUAGGUUACUAACUACGGAAUACCUGAUUUUGCAAGUCAAAAUAUGAGUUGCUUCUUAGUAUAGCCCACCUCAUCUUCAAUAGCCCAAAUGUUCUCUCUAUCACAUUUCUAGCAGUUGAAUGGCGCAAAUUGAAUAGUUCUUUGGCAGUGGAUGGGUUAUGCCCUUGAGCAGCCCACUCAUUCAAGUGGUAGCGAGUGGAUCGAUAUGGAGCAAGAAAGCCUGGUCCAUUGGUGUAUCCCGCAUCUACUAGAUAGUAUUUCCCACUUGGAAUAACAAAUGCAUCGUCCCGAGACAUUGCAUCACGUAGCACACGUGAAUCUGAAGCUGAUCCUUCCCAUCCCGCUAAGACGUAAACAAAUUUCAUGUGACGAUCACAAACCCCUAAAACAUUGGUGGUAAUCUGUUGCUUCCUAUUCCUAUACCUCCCUUGGUCAGCCAAAGGCACAAAAACGUCAAUGUGUGUACCAUCUAAUGCUCCAAGGCAAUCUUCAAACCACUUCCACUUGGAAUCCUCAGGUUGUACAGCUGAUGGAUCAGGAAGCUUGAUAAAUUCAUGGCAUAAUGAUAGAAAUGGGGAAGUGGAUCAAUCAUCAAGCAUUGGUGAACUACUCCCACACAAUUGUUUUGUCUCAGAGGACAAAUCAUCAAGCAUCUAGUUGUUAGUUUAUUAUUUGCAUUGCCAAAUUUAUAGGCUUUUACUAUGUUAAUUUUAUCUAUUGUAGCCAAGCAUCAUCAAAAUAUAAUUUAUUUACUAAUAAUUUGGGUUUAUCUGUUGUACAGGUUAAUAAUCUGCUGCAAGUUGCCCAGAAAUACCAAACUGCUGUCAAUGAAAGUGGACCAGCUGGGAUAUCAAACAAUGACGCACAAACCAUCUGUAACAUGUUAGUGAGCCUAUUUCACCUUCAGUACUUGACAUGCAUUUCUGUAGUGCUCUUUUGGCACGGUAAAUGAAAAAUCUUGUGCGUCAUUGUGUACAGAACAAGAUUGUUCUUGGUUAUCUUAUCCUUUUCCUUCUCUACUGUUAGGUUUGCCACUGCAUCACGGCAGCUAGCAAAAAAUCUAGAGCAUCACACCUUGAAUGAACAUGGGCUUUCCAAAAGAUAUGUACGCUGCCUGCAGGUAAUUAGAGUUCCCCUUUUAACUUUUACAGUUCAGUACAUACAUAAUGCGUGUACCAUGCUGAUGGUCGUCUUUCCUUGUCAGAUAUCGGAGGUGGUGAAUCACAUGAAGGACUUGAUUGAGUUCAGCCACAAGAACAAUCUUGGUCCGAAAGGUACGAUGAUCGUGCACAUUUUACCUAACAGUGUCUUCAGUUUUAUCUAGUAAUAACUGCUUACCGUCACUUCCUAGUCCCCCCAUUUACCUGUACUGCAGUUCUAAUAUUUUCUGUGUUCAUAUGCAGAGAGCCUGAAUAGUUAUUCUAAAACUAUUGCGAAGUUUCAGAAUAUGCAUGAUUCAAGACAGCUCAUGGCUGCUGCUAGCCUUGCCAAUAACCAGAGCAACACCAAAGUAAUGGGGGUCCAGCAAGAGGCAAGUGCUUUAUCUAGUAAUAAAAUUUAUAUGGGUCAAGCUAUGCGGUCUAAGUGUCAAACAGUCCAGGUCUCCAGGAAAUCAUGGGAAUAACAGAAUAUGCUACCUACUGUAAGAUUCUCUAUGCUAACAUACAGGCUACAUUGAUCGUACAUCUAAUUAUUCACUGAACGCAAUAAAGGCUAACUAUGUGCUAGAAAAUAGUCAGUAAAAAUGAUACAGGCAAAUAAUCAGUUAACAUUUUGGAUAAUUAGUAACUUCAUGUGUUACAGUUUAAUCAGUUAACAAAAAUAAUACUGGCAAAUAGUCUGAACUCUGGAGCGCCCCAAUGCCUAACCUAAUUUCACUCUAGGAGAUGCUCCAGGUUUGCACUAAAAUGGCAUAUAUUCCUACAAAACAUUGGGGAUAGGCACCAGGUGUACAAAAUAGUUUUUAUUCAAUGUCAUCAGCUUGUCACUGCCUGAUUACAAAGCAUAUCACCAUGUUGGCAAAUUUAAAAGGGCAAACAGUUGGGACAUGAAGCACAACCAGUACAUUUGAGGUGAAGAGAAGAGGCACGGCAUCGAUGGAGCAAGGAGCUGGUGCAAUUGUACAAGAGGAUCAAUUGCAAAUGUUGAAAAUACAUUGGACUGUUGCUGGCACUCAAAAUUCUGCAUAUGCAGCUCAUGUAUACUAGUACUACUCAUCCCACCCUCCAUGUUCUAUUACAACUAUCCAAGUUCAAUGAAAGCAUAACAGUGUAUAGUGUAUGCACUAUGCAGCAUCGUUUAAAUCUAGAUGCGCAGUUCAAAAAGUAACGGGCAAAGAAAUGGUGAUGUUCUAACUAGCCUCUGUUGUAACAAGAACACAUAGUCAGUGAAUUCUAAAAAAAGAAUAGUUUUCUUAGCAUUUUUGGUACACCAAUGGCCUGUACAAUCUCCAUUUACUACAAUAUAACAUCCACGCUACUCGAUUCAAAUACCAAAACAAUGAAAGCUUGGUGAUUUGUAAGAUUAUUAUGAAAUGAGAUGAUCCACCUGAAUUUAGGGAUGCAUUAACAGCUUAAUUAACUGACUACACUGAGAUCCGCAACGGCUACUCAGCACUCAGCAGAGAUGAGUAGCUUGGAAGCGGAUCCCGAGCGAAAACCCAGCAUAGAGCAGGUAGUUGGCGUUACCAGGGGACGACGGGAUCGGAGGCGGAGGCGCGUCGUGAGGCGGGUCGCACGAUGGUGUCCGGAACGCGCUUGUUGAGGUCGCGGAGGAUCUCGACGAGCGGGCGCGUGAUCCCGGACGGCGCGGCGUCGAGCGGCACGACGUAGUUGGUGGUGGACGCCGCCGCGCCCGGUGGCUUCCGCUCUGGCGCCGCGGCGGCGACGACCGCCACGCGGGUGGGGCGGCGCAGAUUCGGGGGUGGCGGAGGAGGGGCUGGCGGAGGGGGCGCCGGAGGAGGAGGCGGCAGUGCGGGAGGUGGCGCACGGAGUCGGGGGCGGCGGCACAGGGGCGAGAAGUCGGGAGGCGUCGGGGGGGAGGCGAGUCGGGAGAGUCGAGGAAUUGUUUUCCUGAUAUUUUGAUCGGAAUGUGGGGGAAGGAAGGAUGGAAUCACCAGGAAUCCCUCUUUCCAAUUCCGGGGGCAGCCAAACAGGGUGAUUUUGGAAAUUAAUUCCAAUUCCAGCAGAUUCUAAUGAAACAAACAGGCCCUUAAGGUAAUUUUAUAAAAUAAUAUAAUGUGAACACAAGCUCCAACUUUUAUCAUGGGGUCUAAAUCAACCCACUGCCUUUUUUUAUAAGAAAAAAACUUGUUAAACUGCCACGACCCGACACCCUGAUGUGUGGACCCCACCCGUUCACCAACUGACACCUACUCCGUACCAUACGCUUCGCUUCGCGGUGCACGACGCGCGAACCGUCGGAUCACCGAAGAGAACCCUAAAGAACACGCGCACGCAGACAUCGGCGUUCCGUCACGCGGGCGCUGCCGCUACCAACCAAACCAAACACGCCGGUCGGUCGAUCGCCGAUGGCCUCCUCGCUCCGCCAUUUCGCCGGCCCCAGCUGCUUCACCGCCACCGCCGCCGCGUCGUCCGGCGCCAGCGGCUUCCUGCGCCGCUACGCCCCCAAUUUCUGCGCCUUCGCGGCGCUCCGCCCGAUCAGGCCGGCCGCCGCCGCUGCCUUCUCCGCCGCGGCUGGCGCGGCAAAUCCCUGCGCCCCUCCGGCGGCCGAGCACGAGCAGCACCAGCUCCGCCACGAUAGCGAUCAACCGACCCCGUCGCCGGCGCCGGCGGCCCCCGCCCCCGCGGCGCUGCGGGUGGGGAUCGUGGGGUUCGGGAACUUCGGGCAGUUCAUCGCGGGCGGCAUCCAGCGGCAGGGCCACGCCGUGCUGGCGGCCUCCAGAUCUGACUACUCCGCCUACUGCGCGGACCACGGGAUCCGCUUCUUUGGGAGCGUCGACGCGCUCUGCGAGGAGCGCCCGGACGUGCUGCUCAUCUGCAGCUCCAUCCUGUCCACGGAGAGCGUCGUCAGCGCCAUCCCGUUCCACAAGCUCCGCCCCGACACCAUCGUCGCCGACGUGCUCUCCGUCAAGCAGUUCCCCCGCAACCUCCUCCUCGAGGUAAAUUUGCAGUUGCAGAGCCGGAUAAAUUAAGCGCUGUAAUUAACAUCUAACAAAUUUCAACACCUACAGACCUACUACCAACCAAUGCAAUAUUGCAAUGCAGUAGUGAGACGAAACUGUUGGUAGCUGGCUGAGGAGGUACGUAGGAGUAGGUGGCAAGCUUGAGUGGCGGAGAACACUAUGUCAAAUCCCCCUGGCCAGAAUUCGUAGCUUAUGGAUGGAUUCCUCUGUACUGACUACGACGUUGGCCUGGUCUUUCAGAAAAAAAGACUACAGCGUUGGCCUGAAUGCCUGCUGUUGGAACUUCAACUGCACUUUCAAAAAAAAAAAAUAAAGACUGUGUGGUCCAUUGCUGUGGAUUGAGGAUUACUGUUUUGUUGAUGUAAUGCCAACUUGUUAGAUUCUUCCACCGGGGUUUGGGAUAGUCUGCACGCACCCGAUGUUUGGGCCGGAGAGUGGUAAACAUGGCUGGGGCAAGCUACCUUUUGUUUACGACAAGGUCAGGGUCGCAGAAGGAGGAGAUCAAGCAACCAAGUGUGACCAGUUCUUGAGCAUAUUUGAACAGGAGGUAAUUCUAUUGGGACCAUGAGCAUUUUAUUUCUUUGAUGUUCACAAUGGAUAGUACUUUUGUGUGAGAAGUAGCAACUGACUAGAGUUAACAUAUGAAGCUUUUGUUUCAUUUUGUUCUAAAUGAUUCUGGUAGGGAUGUAGGAUGGUAGAGAUGUCAUGUGCGGAGCAUGAUCGCUACGCCGCGGGAAGUCAGUUCAUCACGCACACAAUUGGGAGGCUAGUGACAUUACGUAUCUAAAAUAUUUAUACAAUAACUCGUCAUUAUGCAACCGCUAGCUGACUAACAUUGUUGACUACAGAGUUUUGUCACAAUUGAAUCUGAAGUCAACCCCAAUAAAUACCAAAGGUUAUGAGAGCUUGCUACAACUUGUAAGUAUUGAAUGUCAUGGUCUUGUCCACUAUUGAUUGCCAAGAGCUUAUUUGUGACCUUGUUGCCUAUACCCUUUGCAGACACAUAACACCGUAAGUGAUAGUUUCGAUCUAUACUACGGGCUCUUCAUGUAUAACGUUAAUGCCACGGAGCAGGCAAGUAAACUCUCCCGUCUUCUCAUGAUGCACCAUCAUUAUCCUUCACCUACGUUACUACAGAGUAUACGUAACAUUUGCUAAUAGUAUGUGCGCCUAAAGGCUCCAACAUCACGCCUUUCAUAAUUUUACGCACAGCUUGACAAUUUGGAGAGGGCAUUUGAGAAGGUGAGACAAAUGUUGUAUGGUCGGCUCCAUGAUUUACUACGAAAGCAAAUCGUGGAGAGGGUCCCUAUGCCGGUGGUUUCUUCAAGAAAAUUGGAAAAUGGCAGGUCUAAUUCUUUUGCGGGCCUCUCUUAUCGCCUCUAACUACAAAAGAGAAGAAACAUGUAUCCUCCGAUCCGUUGCUUUUGUAGCCUCUACUACUACACGUCAACCGAUCGCUUCCAUCCCAAGGCAAUGCUAAAUCCAUGCCUCUCCCUAUUGUUGUUUUGUUGUGAAAGUUGUAUGUGUGCAAUUAACAUAGUUGUUAGCAUCAGUGGGAGAGUAAGAUCAUUGCUACGCUUUAGUUGUUAUGACUCCUGAUCUCUCCCCUUCCUUUCAGACCGCCUGCCUAAUGUAAUAAUACAAUUCAAGAGAUGUGAUUAGAAAUGUUCAUUGUAGAUUGAGAGGACACGAGGGAUGAGGCAGAAAGGAUAUCUUGUUUUAUAUAUUAUUGUUAUAAAUAAUGAACAUGUUGCAGCCACUAUAGUUUGACAAAAGAAUCAUGCUACGUAGUGUAAAAGUAGUUAUUGUUGUGUACAAUUUAUAGGGGUGAGUGUGUGCAUGUGAGCAUUUACAUUUGUGAUAUGCUUUUUAUAGAAAAAGUUCGCAUUGUAUUUGUGUGCCAUAACAACAAUAAUAUCUUGCAAACAUGGUGCGACAAAACGACAUUGACGUUGUGGAGGUGUGCACCAUGAUCAACCAUCACGUUAUCGCACCAUUGUCUCAAGGAACACAUGAGAUGGAUGCACAAUUGUGUGAUGAAACUAAGAGGUGGAGGUGUGGGACAAAGUUAUUUUGUUUGUUUGUGUCGGGGGUGGGAGGCAAGAGGCAUGGUGAAAAAUGAUAAUCUGAUCUAUACUUUGCCAUGUAGAGAUCUAUAUCCUAAACUCUUUUAUUGUUGUUACAAGUGUCAGGACUAGGAAGACUCAUUCCAGUACAAAGUGGUCACGAGGGAAACAAUACUUGGGGUGUCAUAGUAAAGUUAGCAUACUAGUUAUAAUAGUCUAGCUACACAUUCUUCAAAACUAGUAUGUUUCCACAGGUAAACAGGGAUAUUGAACGCUCCCUGUGUAUUGAAGUAUGUUAUAGACUGUCUACUAAGUUGUAGCGAGCUUUUCUUUCCCUCCAUUCAUUCUUCCUGCCAUGCAGGAUAGGUUGUGAUGUUUGUGCGGGCGACCACAAUGUGGUAGAAAAAUAUUCCAUAGGCAACAUUAUAUUCCAUUCAGCCACCUAUACCAUUGUAUAAGUAGUCCAUACAAAGAAUAUAAUAAAAGUCACCCAUAGCACUAUGGGCUGCUCAUAGGGCAUUUAAAAAUUAUAUUUGUAUACUGCAGCUAAUGGGGUAGAUGAUUCUUUUUUAUUGAUACUGUGUCAAACAAUCCCAAAAAAGAACGGUGUGUGUGCGUCUCUAAGUCCAACGAAUGGAUAUAGGCCUCUGGGCUGUAACCCAAACCAGGCACAGAGCCAACCAACCAGACCAGCCCAACUAAUAACCGAAAACGAAACAGAGCUGGUGUGGGACUGAUCUGAAACAUUGAACCCACUGAGCUCGCACUUGCACUAUUGCAGGGAACAAGUCAAAUAUGUAGCAUGACCUUUGAAAUUUACAUCACCACGCGUCUUCUUCCCCGAUAAAAUUUAAAGUACUCCUGUACAAGACACAGCAGAGGCCGGCGGUGAAUCAAUCAGACGCGGAGCGACCGAUCACGAUCACAUCACAUGAUCGAGCAAGCACCAGUCGGGUUCUCAUCGCUGAAGUAGUUCCGCACGGCGGCCGGCACGACGCCGGGCUGCUCGUGGUAGUUCCCGUAGAGCUCAGAGUCGUAGUACCCGUGCACGUGGUAGUUGUACGAGCUGGCCUUGCCCUGGGGGUACUGCGCCACCGGCAUCCUGGCCGCCGACGAGACGCCGCCGCGCGGCACGCUGCUGAAGUAGUGGUGGUGCUGCGCCAGCGCCUGCGCGGGCUUGGCCUGGUAAUGGUUGGGGUAGUAGGCCGCCGCCGGCUGCGCGUAGGCGUGGUGGUACGCCGGGUUGUUGUAGGCGGACGGCCACAGCACGGCGAGCCUGCCGGAGCGCCGCGCCGCGCGGAGCACCUUCUUCUGGCUCACCGACCCCAUCACCGUCACCUUGCCGUGCAUCCUGUCUAUGCUCACGCUGUGCACUCCUGAUCAAGGAAGAAAUGAAGCGAUUGUAAGGCUGAGGGAUUCUAGUGUUGUUGACCGAUGGAUCUGGGUGAACAAUUUGGUGGUGUACCUUCAAGCUUUUCCAGGGACCUCCUGACCUUGCCCUCGCAGCCGUCGCAGUCGAUGUUCACACGCAUCUCCACGAUCUGCACGCAUGCAAGUUUCAGAAGCAUAUACGAGAACGAACACGAGAACUUCUCAAGAAAUUUGCAUCAAACCAGCAAAAUGAUGAGAUGCUACAGCAGAACAAACUUACCGUCAUGGCAGCUGCUCUUUGGGUAGAAGACGCAAAUCGAAGCUAGUUAAUUGAGAACUGCGACCUUGCCGAUGGCAAAGUAUACUCACUUCGGGGAGUUCACUAGGACAGUGUACUGGUGUGUAUAUAUGCACAAGGAACACUACUGGAGUUGCAGCCGGAGAUAAGCCAAUAGAAGAAGCUGUGUCGAUCAAGUCACCGAAGUCAAGUCAAGAUGCUUGGUGAUGAUGCGUGCGUUGAUGACGUGCGCGUAAACAAUAAUGCCAGGAUAUUGGCGGCUAAUUUCCGCGUUGCUGUAGCCCGCUGAGCCCGAAAAAGCGAUGGUGCAACGAAUAGUUGAUCUACAUGCAACUGUGGCCUAUACUGGCCUCAAUUGCCGUGACGUCGCUGGCCGUGCUGAUCCCAGUAUUUCUUCCCUACGAGAAUGACUGGAAGUUGCCUGCCAUUACUUGGAUGCUUCGGUCAUGGACAACGACCAGUGAAGUAUAAACUAUAAAAACUAAGUUGAAUCGACGCAGCAGGGAUAGUGUUGGUUAAGAUAGAUAUCUGCGCAAAUUGAGCAAGUAGGCAAACAAAAAUAUCAGGUCGCUCUUACUGCGAGAUACCAGCAAAGUUUUUUUUCUUUUCCAAAUUAUCAAAAGGAGUCAGCAAAACCUAUUGAUGAUGUUUUGGAACACACCCGCAAAGAAAAUGAUAUUGUCGACAGACACAAACUAUAUUGAUCUAUUCAUUCACUAGUAGAGAACUCACCUUCAGUCUCCUGAUCGGUAGGGUGCAUAUCUCCCGAAAAUUCAUCCGGAAUAAACCAAUAGAGACAAAAGGGAGGUCUUUAGUCCUGGGUCCUUCAACCGGGAGUAAAGCCACCCUUUAGUCCCGGUUGGGUUUCCCAACCAGGACUAAAGUUCUACUUAAAUUUCAGGCGCGCGCCAUGCAGGCGCCUGCAUGGCGCCUAUAAUUUCAUGCAUCACGUACGUACCCGGCCCUUUUAUUAACCUUUAGCAGUUGAGACUUUUUUAUAAUGAAAUUAACUAGUAUUUAAACGAAUGAAAUUAGUAAUUAUACAAUUACUAUAUACAUACACAAUUCUUAGUAUAUAUAUACAAUUCUUAGCAUACUAUACAAAUCGAUCUUAGUGUGUAUUAUAUAUACAAAUCAAACUAUAUAUCUACAAUCUUCCCGUCUAGGUGUUGCUCAGAGCGUCUAAAUUGCCGCUACUCUUUCCUUCUUCAAGAGUCCUUGUUGAAUAUUUAAUGUCUAUAAUUUGGAAAUAUGUGAAUGUUACACGAACAAUUAAAUAUAAGGAGUUAAAAAAUAAUUAACGAGCGACGUCAUCUUUAGUCCCUUGGGUCCCAUAAAACUGUGCAUGUGCUCACAGAUGUAGUAGCCACAUAGAUUAUUUCUGGGUUUCUGUCUUAAGCACUUCAGUGGGGAAAAAUAAGUCAUGAAAUAUUCGUGUUAUACAAUGUAAAAAAGUGCAAACUUCAUGUACCGGGAAGUCUGUGUUCCAUGUAAGUUUUUCUUUGAAUGGACCUUUGUGUGUCCACAUAAAUUGUUUUCAUGCGUUGCGGAUUAGAAUAAUGAAUGAUAUAGUGUAACCGGGAUAAAAUGUAGGAAACCAACUUUUGCAUAGAGAUAAAGAUCCAGAAUUCUUACAAGCCUAACAUAUCUUGCAUGUCUCGGUACUCCAUCAGAUCUUUACUCAACGAAUCGAAGACAGUGACGUGGCUUGUUUCAGGCUCAAUUAUAAUGAGGAUCCAGUGAAAGCUGCGUACGUAAAUGUUCAUACAUAUUAGAGCUAACUAACAUUAAUCAGGUAAAGAAAAAGAAAACAAAAGUAGAUGGCAUACACACACUUACUUGAAGUUGUAUGGAAGUAGUAUGAAAUACUUGAAUUUUUGUUUGUCUAGGAAAUUGUAUACUUCCACCAAAGUUUUUUUCGGCGAUACCUGUAUCUAUUUUUGGUUAACUGCGGAUGGAUCCAUGAAGCUAAUAUGUAGGUACGCUUCUCAUCGGCACGUCUGAAUUAGCAUCCUACAUAAAAUGGAAGACGAAGUUAGUACGGUGACGCACGCAAAAAAAAUAAUGAUAUGAGCCAAAAUUUACAUGUAGAUAAACGAACACUUACAGAACCCAGGCACUGAUCAGAGAGACGUCCAGGGCAUCAUGAUGGUACACUUCGUAUAUAUCCUUGAAUUCUAGCCACAGAACUUUCUCGCCUUCGUCGUAAAAAUCUAUCGGUUUUACCUUAAGGCCGAACAUCUCCCUUGAGUCGGCGGACACCUUCACGUACCAUUGAUGGAAUUCGUACAUCUUUGUUGAUAGCUUCCGUACCAACUCAGGCCUUACUAGAGACUUGCCUAGCUCAAAGGUCCAUCUCAGUUCAACUGACGAUGCAGCUGGCGGCUCAACUUGCCCUAAACAUUCAUCAAGUUUUUCUUCCAUGAAUUUCAAUACUUGUGCUUGUUGAUCUAAGAGCAUUGCUGCUAUCUUUUGAGCGUCUUUUUCUGGUAGAUGCCCGAGGUCGGGGACAACACCACUGGAAGAUGAUUUUCCUUUCCUUUUGUCCCUCUUAUCAGCCUUGACUAAAGCCCAUUCGUAGUUUGAUAGUAGUGGUACCCUCUUCUUGGCUCCUUCUUCCAUCCUGAUAAAAAAAUUUAAAUCUCUUUGAUUUACUGGCUGUGGCUCCAUCUCCCUUGCUUUUUUUUCUUCGAUUUGUUUCUUGAACCACUCACUGACCUCUGCUUGGAUUUUGGCCCUUUGUUCCGCAUGAGUCAUUGCCUCCCAACGUUCCUUACGAGUCACUUCAGGCUCCUUUCUUUUCUUCUUUCUCUAUCUUGGCUUGGGAGGCGGUGGUCGUGACUUCUUAAGUGGUGCUGCAGGUUCCUUCAUCGGGGCUGCUCUUAGUCCCGACGACAGUGAUCGGGGAGGGGUGUUGUUAUUGUCAUUGUCACUCCCACCACUAGGAUGUGGUGGAGAUGGACACCUUGAUCGAGUAGGAAGCAACGGUCCUGGAACAGGUUGUGCAGGAGACGACGGUCUUGAGCUUUGAGGAGAAGGUCGCUGCUGGGGAUCUGUGGGGAGCGGUCUUGAGCUCUGAGGAGAUGCCUCCAUGCCGGGAAUGAUGAUGUAGCAUUUGCGCCAUAGAAUGAUCCCAUGAAGCGCAUCUCCUAGUGUCCUUUCCCCGUCGCCUCCCGGGAGGUCGAGCUCUAGGACUUCAUAUUGGCUAUCAACAAGCUGCUCUACGCCGACGUUGGCGUAGCUAGGUGGAAUCUCCAUGCCAUGGCUUGUCUGCCCUGCCAGGAUUGGUAACGCACUCCUGUACACCACCUGUACAUAUAGCAGAAGUAAACAAGUUAUUAAACUCUGAUCCUGAGGCGUGGAUCAAUUGAGAAGAUUGCAUAAAUAUUAGGUCUUGUUCCAUCUUCUUCCAUCUGGGAAUUGCUCUGCCAUAACCACCUCGCCCUAGAUGAUGAUGAUACUACUUAUGACCAGCAUUUAUAGUGUUGGUCUGGAUCUUUUUCACACCGUCUUCGCUCCUCUUGUAUUCAACAAAUGUCUCCCAGUGGUCUCUCAACUUUGGCCACACAUCGAAAUCUGGAGUUCGGUCCUUCUUAAGGUAGUUGGCAUCCAACAUCUUUUUGAAUACCUGGAGUUGUGUAGCCAUCAUCUUCAGCGUCCACGUUUUCACAUCCUUUUUAAUAUAUCCUUCGGGAAAUGUGAAAUGUCUUGUGACAUCUUCCCACAACAUAUUCUUUUGUUUAUCCGGGAGCGCGUACGGAUUAGUGCUUUUGACCUUCCAUUCCCUGAUGUUGAUAGGCACAUUAUCCCUUACGAUUGCCCCGAUCUGACUCACGUGCUUCUUUGCUACUUUUUCAGGAGCAACCGACCUGCCCUCUUCUGUGACUUCCGUGAUGACAAGCCUCCCAUCCAUCACCCUUGUACAACCUCGGGUCUUCUGACAUUUUGUCGAUCCAGAGGGCUAACAGUUCAAGAUUCGUUAAUUAGUAUAUAGUAAUAACAAUGGGGUAAAAUAAUGGAAAUUAUAUAUACCUCGCCGGAACCUUCCACCACGGUAAGGUUUUGCAGGGCCUCGGGCUCUUUGCCAUCACCGGAACCUUCCGCCACGGCAAGAUUUUGCUGGGGCUCGGGCUCUUCAUUGCCAUAGCUGGACAUGUUGAGGAACAUGUCCGCCUGGGUGCCCUCUGCAUCGAUGUACGAUAUGGGAAGGUUAGAGCCACUAACAUUACCAGCAAUAAUCUGCUCCAUUAGAUACCUUGCGGUCUCAUCGUCUGUCAUCUCAACUACUGAUUGAAACGUACAUGAAAGCAUACAUGACAGUCAUGAAUCAUAGAAUAACCAUGAAAUAGGCAACUCACACGAAACUAAACUUACAUGAAAUUGCCUUAGUUAAAUGUACGUUAAGGUAUAUACAUGAAAUCAUACAAUAACAUGAAUCCCACAAAGUUUGGAAUGUUUAUACAAAUUUCUACAAAUUAGUAGUAAUUUGUAAGAAUUUAUACCAACUUUAUACAAAUUUCUAGAAAUUUAUUGGAAUUUCUAGAAAAUUUCUACUAAUUCCUACUAAUUUUAAGAAUUCCUAUAGAAAUUCUUCUUAUUUCUAAAUAUUUCUACUAAAUUUCUUCAAAUUAGUAGUAAUUUGUAAGAAUUUCUACAAAAUUUAUACAAAUUUCUAGAAAAUUAUUGGAAUUUCUAGAAAAUUUCUACUAAUUUUAAGAAUUCAUACCAAAUUUCUUCUGAUUUCUAAGUAUUUCUACUAAAUUUCUACUAGUAAUUUGUAAUAAUUUCUACCAAAUUUAUACAAAUUUCUACUAAUUAUACUAAGUUUCAACUAAUUUUCUAUUGAUUUUUUUACUAAUAGCGAAACUAAUCUAUUGAUUUUCUACUAAUAUCUAUUGAUUUUCUAAUUAAAAAAUAAAAAAGACGCUUGCGUCAACAAGGGCUGUUCGUUUCCGGCGCCAGUGCCGGCGGGGAUCGGUGCCUAGCUACUGGGGCGACAAGGCCGUACGCGGCUAAGGCAGCGGAGUGGCAAUGUGCACGCUGGCAGAGGUGGGGACGGAGCGAGGUGGCCACGGCGACGAGGGGCGGAGGUGGCCGGCGACGAGGGAUGGAGGCGGCGCGACGGAGGCGGUGAUGAGGCGGCACAACGGAUGAGGGCAUGGCGGCGACGGAGGAGGUGGCGUUGACGGAGGCAGCGACGAGGACAGAGGCGGCGAUGAGGCGGCACGAUGAAGGCGGAGGCGAUGAGGUCGAGGGGGCGCGAUGGAGGAGGAGGCGGUCUGGGUGCGGGUGAGGUGGCCGGGGCGGCGGGACGAUGGCGGUCGGGGCGAUGGGCGACGAGGACGAUGGCAGCCGGCGAGGGAGGGCGCGGAUCUUCGUGGCGGUGAAAAUUUUGCCUGAGUGUAACUAGCGUGGGAGGGGGGAGGUAGAAGAGGCUACAAUUGCUUUUAUCCCCUCCCCUUUUAUCCCGGUUCGUAAUUGAACCUGGGACUAAAGGCCCUUUUGUCCCGGGUGCCAGUACCAACCGGGACAAAAGGUCCCCCCUUUUAUCCCAGUUGCAAACUGUAACCGGGAUAAAAGGGUACGUUCCCGGUGGAAAUUGAAAACUACCAUUUUGUCUCGGUUACAGUUUUCAACCGAGAUAAGGGGGGUCUUUUGUCUUGGUUGCUAUUGGCACCCGGGAUAAAAGGGCCUUUUGUCCCAGUUGCUGUUGGCACCCGAGACAAAAGGACCUUUUCCCACACUUUCAUCUCCCGCCUAUUUUUUGAAAAUGGAUUUUAUUUAUGUUUUCACUGCAUUCAGGAUGCAAAAACAAAAAAACUUUACAUAUUUUGAACAUACAAAAAUAUAUUAAAUUAGCAAAUAUAUUGACAAUAGUGUGGAUGAGUCAUUAAUGCUAUACCAGUUCUUUUAGCUUCUAAAAUAAUUAUUUUACUCCAUCGCUAUGAUCAAGAAAUUAUUAAAUUAAAUAAUUUCAAUGCACGAAAAAUUCAAUUUAUGUAUGUGGUUAACUUUGUUCAUGUUUAUCUAAUAAACCUUCACCUCAACUAAUUUAAGCACACAUAAAAUCAUACAUAUGUCAAAUUAAAAAUUGUAUCAAGUAGUACAUAAAGCUGAAGUAAAUUUAGCGCAUUACAAUACAACAUUAUAAAAUUUCUUAUUCACGAAAGUUCCUUGAUCAUGAUCGCGGCAUAAGUAUGAAGCCUCUUCUUUGGAUAGCAGGAUGCUUGGGUCAACUUCAACAGCGAAUAGAGGCAUGCCAUCAAACUGAUCAUAAUCAUCUGAUUGGUCUGUUUUAUCCUCGACUCCGUAUGUGGCGCUUUGGCUCCCAUGGCUCUUCUGGAUUUCUCUUGGGUUUGCUGACAUGUCCUUCACAUAAAAAACCUGAUGCACAUCAUUGGAAAGUACGAAUGGUUCAUCACUGUAUCCAGUCUUGCUCAGAUCCACUAUUGUAAUUCCGUCCUAAUCUUUGGUUACGGCAGUUAGCUUCACCCAAUUGCAAAGAAAUAGAGGGAUGUAGAGCAGUCCGUAUUCGAGUUCCCAUAUCUCCUGUAUGAAACCAUAAUACGACUCCUUACCAUUGUUUCUAUCUAUGGCAUCUAUGCAGACACCACUAUUCUGGUUUGUGCUUUUCUGGUCCUGGGCUCUCGUGUAAAAUGUAUAACCAUUUAUCUCAUAGUCUUGGAAUUUCACGAUUCUGCUACCAGGUCCCCUGGCUAACCAAGCGAGCUGUGGGUGAAUCUUAGAGUUACCCAUAAGUUGUUGGCACAACCAGGAGGGAAAAAUUUCCAUGUGAUGACGUGUAAGCCAAGCAUCGAAUUUCGUCGGGUUUUUGGAAACUACCAUCUGCGUGUUGCUCGAUAUACGGAGCCACAAAGGAUGACUAUUGCAGAAUAGGGUAGUGUGCCUUGUUGAACAAAUCAGUAUCAUUGCUCAAACUUGAUUUCCUUCUAAGGGUGCCCAUUCCCCGCAGCUUCCCUUGUGGCGUGAAGUUGGAACCCCAAUCGAGUCAAUUGAGUCAAUAAAAUCAACACAAAACUCGAUCACCUCCUCUGUUCCAUAUCCCUUGGUGAUGCUUUCUUCUGGACGGGCACGAUUAAGAACAUAGUUUUUUAGACUGACAUGAACCUCUCGAAAGGCCACAUAUUGUGCAGGUAUACAGGUCCGAGAAUACCAAUCUCUUUUACUAGGUGAACCAGUAAGUGCGUCAUAAUAUUGAAGAAAGAUGGUAGAAAUACCAACUCAAAACUGACAAGAUAUUGCACCACAUCGUUCUGUAGCUUUGAUAGGUUGGAUGGAUCGAUUGCCUUCUGCAAAAUCGCAUUGAUAAACACGCAUAGCUUUACGAGCGACAAUCAGACAUUUUCUGAUAGAACACCCCUCAGUGCAACCGGAAGCAACUGGGUCAUCAACAUGUGACAGUCAUGGGUCUUGAGAUUUGUAAACUUUUUUUGUUUUAUAUUUAUUAUUCCCUUUAUAUUUGAGGAGAACCUAGAUGGGACUUUUGUACUAUUCAAGCAUUUAAACAUGCUAUUCUUCUCUUACUUGCUGAGAGUGUAAUUGGCAGGAUGUAAGUAGUGCUGUCCGUUAUCUCUCUUUUCCGGAUGUAGGUCAUCUCGUUACCCCAUGGCUUUCAGGUCCUGUCGUGCUUCCAAUGUAUCUUUCAAAGUCCCAUAAACACCCAUGAAGCCUAGCAUGUUCACGCAAAGAUUCUUCAUUAGGUGCAUCACAUCUAUUGCGUUGCGGACCUCUAAGAUUUUCCGAUAAGGUAGCUCACGAAAUAUUGAUUUUUUCUUCCACAUGGGUGCAUGUCCGUUAUCAUCGUUCUGAACAGGUUGGCUACCCUGACCCUUUCCAAAGACUACAUUUACAUCCUUUAUCAUCUCGAAGACAUGCUUUCCAUUACGGUGUGCAGGUCUUUUACCAUCGUCUGGCGCCCCUUUGAAAUGCAUUCUGCUCUUUCUCAGCUGGUGGUGAGCAGGGAGAAAUCGACGAUGACCCAUAUAGACGACCUUCUUACAAUGCUUCAAAUACAUGCUGUCUGUGUCGUUUAAACAGUGAAUGCAGGCCACAUAUCCCUUAUUUGUCUGCCUCGAAAGGUUACUCAGUGCAGGCCAAUCAUUGAUGGUUACGAACAAAAAUGCUCAUAGAUUAAAGAUCUCUUGUUUAUCCUCAUCCCACACACGUACACCUUCUUCCUUCCAAAGCUGUAAAAGUUCAUCAACCAACGGUCUUAGGUACACGUUAAUGUUGUUGCCGGGUUGUUUUGGGCCUUGGAUAAGCGCUGACAUCAUAAUAAACUUCCGCUUCAUGCACAGCCAAGGAGAAAGGUUGAACAUACAUAGGGUCACACAAGUACUAUGACCAUUACUCAACUCACCGAAUGGAUUGAAUCCAUCAGUACUUAAACUAAACCUUAUGUUCCUUGCUUUACUUUCAAAGUCCAGGAAUGCUCUAUCAAUUGAUCUCCACUGGCCCCAUCUGCGGGGUGUCUCAGCAUCUCAUCUUCCAUAUGUUCUUCUUUGUGCCAUCGCAUCAACUUAGCAUUCCCCUUGUUGCUGAACAAGCACUUCAAGUGUGGUAUUAUAAGGAAAUACCACAUCAUCUUCACGGGAACUCUCUUCUUGGGAGAUUGCCCCUCGACAUCACCUGGAUCAUCUCGCCUAAUCUUAUAUCGCAGUGCUUUGCACACGGGACAAGCAUCCAUUUUCUCAUUUUUAUCACCACGAUAGAGGAUACAGUCAUUAGGGCAUGCGUGUAUCUUCUAAACCUCCAAUCCGAGAGGGAAAAUAAUUUAUUUAGCUUCAUAUGUUGUGGACGGUAAUUCAUUAUUCUCGGGAAGAAUCUUCUUGGUAAUGUUCAACAUCCCCUGAAAUGUCUUAUCGGACACACCAUUUUUUGCCUUCCAUUGCACAAAUUCUAGUGUCGUACCUAGUUUUUUAUGGCGCUGCUGGCAAUCUGGGUACAACAAUUUGGUGAUCAUCUAUCAUGCGCUGCAACUUUACUGCUUCCUUCUCAGUUUCACAAUCUCUUUGUGCAUCUCGUAGCACCUGACCAAGGUCAUCAGUAGGGCCAUUUUGUGCAAACUCAUCUUCAUCAGCCUCGCCCAUUGUAGUAUCUGUAAAGUUUGGCCUGCAGCCCAGUCCGAAAUGUUGUCAUCAUCCUCUUCCUCUUCGCCGUCUUCCAUUACAACCCCUCUUUCACUGUGCUUGGUCCAAACCAAAUAGUUAGGCAUGAAACCGUAUCUAAACAAGUGGUUGUGAAUAGUCCUCCAGGAAUCCUUUGAAUAGUCCUUCUUGUUACUGCAUUGGAAGCACGGACAACAUACGAACCCGUUCUUUGGCUUGUUCGCUUUGGCCACUUCGAGAAAAUAAUGCAAGCCAUCAAUAAAUACCUUGCUCCGUCUGUCUGCAUUAUAUAUCCAUUGCCGGUCCAUCUGCAUGGUAUUACGCAUGAAAAUAGAUUACGCGUGAAAAUGGAUUACACUUGAAAAUUGAUUACACAUGAAAAUUGAUUCACUAUUGAAAGCAUGUCAAAUGUUGUAAUGCAAAUAAUGUUGAAAGUUUAGAUAUAGAUAGAAAUACACAUAUUUAAAUUACAGAUACAAACAGCAUGAUACACUACGACAAGCCAUCCACUGAUUAUUAUCUAGGAGGACUUUGAGCAUCCUUGGGCGGUGAAGACGAAGGUUCUGCUGACCCAGACUCAUCAUGUGGUUUAUUUGUGCCUCCUGGAACGGUAGUACUAAGUGGACGUGAAACACCCGGGACUGAUGGUGGAGCAUAACGACCACCAAAAGGAGGUUCCUAACCCGCCGCAAUAGCAUCUUCAUGAAGUUUCUGCAAAUAACGAAGCAUUGCUUUCUCCAAUGUGCUCAUUUUCUUUGGUUUAUCCUGAGGGCCAACUAUGAUUUUUCCCCUUGUCGCAAGAGGAACGACGAUCGCCCCCACCAUCGCCACUUACUCCAGUAGCAGAGGCCAUCUAUGUACAAAAAUUCAUACCUUAGCACUGCAGAACUUGUUGAACUUGAAGACCAUGAUCAUCUGCCGAGCAUGUUCUCAACUGGGUGGCACCAUACUUCAUCAUGGAAGAGUUUUGAUUCUAUGAAAAAGGGGACAUGGUGUUCCACGAUGUCUGUAUCUGCUCUUUCUCGUAGAAUCGGAGCUCCUCCUUGACGUCCGUUGCUGCUCGGCGGAGAACAUGCAAACCGAGAUGAACACGGUAAUGCAAGUUCAACAAGUAUGGAUUCGAAAAACCAUAUUGAAUUUGACAAGAUAAACCAUCUAGACAAGGGUAGCAUCAUUCUUAAACCACUACAAGGAUACAUACUAUAUAUGACACAUCAAUCUCCCUCACAUUCUAGCUCAAAAUCCUCUCCAUUUUCUACUUUACAUUCUAGCAAAUAAACUAUCCAUCUCCAUUCUACACAUCAAGUUGUUUUAGCUAAUACGAAUCGUAUAUAACAAGCAAACUAUCCAUCACAUUCUAGCUCAAAAACAUGUAUAAAUACAAAUCCUCUUCAUUCUCCCUCUUUCUAACAAACAAACUCAUUUUUCUUCCUCUCUAAAGCAUAAAUCAAAGCAUAACACGAGGAUGAAGUAGCAAACCUUCACAACACUUUGGAUGAGUGAAAUUCCCACGAAAAUAAGGAAAAAAAACUUCGAGCAGCACCUCCCUUGCUUCGGCACCACAGGAGAGUAGGUGAAGCUCAGCUCUCUGUCUUUGUGGUGGACUGGUUUGGGCUGGAGGAGGAAGAAAGGCCUCUGUCUUGGUAUAUAAUGACGGAUGAGUUUUUAUCCCGGUUGAAAACUCCAACUGGGAUAAAAAGGAACACCUUUUAUCCCGGUUGAAAGUUUAUUCCCGACUGGAGGCUCCAACCGGGACAAAAGGGACAUGCCACCGACGCUCGGGAACUAGCUGUUACAACUAGUCCCGGUUGCAAAUACCAACCGGGAGUAAAUGUUCGCCCAUUCCAGCCUACCGUGGCGCAUAACCUUUUCUCUCAAGUCUAGAUUAAACCGGAACUAAAGGGGGAGAAUCGAAAGUUAGUUCUCUACUAGUGAUUGGGCCUUAGUGGCCACAAUGACCAUUAAAAAUUAAAAUCUUUUGUGGCUACUUUGCAUUUUAGCCAUAUGCGCCCGAUAUUUGAUACCUUAGGUGGUGUUUGGAUCAGUAGUUCAUGGACUAAACUUUAGCUCCUAAACUUUAGCCCCUAAAAUUUAGUCCUGCUGGGCCGUUCGGAUCCAUGGACUAAAAUGGGCUAAAAUCUAUAAAUGUUGUUGAAAAAGACACUAUUACCCUCUUUGCCUGCCCCUGGCGCAUACACCUUCUUCCCCAACCUUUGCACUCACCGCCCUUCUUCCUCCUCCAAAUCCGCAACGCGCACGGCGACCAGAAGCCACCACCGCUGCUGACGGUCGCCCACCACACGCGACGCUGGGUCGCGUAGCGAGAUCCGAGGGCCUGCGCGCUAUCGCCCUGCGCCGACGGAUCUUCGCGCGAGGCGAGGCGGAGGCAGAAGAGGAGGCGGCGGCUUGGGCUCGGUGGAGGCGGAGGAGGCGGGGGGCCGGAGGCGGCGGUGCCGGUCGGAGGAGGCGGGAGGCUGGUCGGAGGAGGCGGGGGGCCGGAGGCGGCGCGACCGGCCGAAGGAGGCGGGCUCGAGCAGAGGCAGCGGGCGUGGGAGGCAAAGGAGAGAGGAAGUGCAGGAGGAGCAAGGCACCACGCGGAGGAGAGAGGAAAAGGGGCAGGGGUGGAAUUUGUGGUCCUGGGAGCACUUUUAGCCCCUUUUAGAGCUUCUUUGGGGGUUAAAAUUUAGCUCCUAAAAUUUAGUUAUUUGUCACUUUUAGUCCUCCUGUUUGAUCCCAAGAGCUAAAUUUUGAGCUAAAAGUGCAAGACUAAAUUUUAGUCCAUGGAUCCAAACAGGCUCUUAGUAUAUUUGUUUUUCCCCUUUAAAAAGGAUGAUCCUGCUGCUGUCUUGGAGGCUAUGGUUUGCAAUGAAUGUGGCCCAAGAUACAUCUAUAUACGCAUACCUAAAGUAUGUGUGGUUUCGGACCGUCUCGAGGUUGUAAAGAACUUAGCAGCUCCAGAAGUUGCCAUUGUGGUCCAUGGGAAGCGACUACGUAACAUCGCCCCUAAUCUCUUCAUUAUCUCGAAAAAGGAGAAAAUACCUUCGCAACAGGUUUUGCUAGGGAAUAAUUGGAUUCAGGAUCGGAACUAUCAACCUCCAGCACCCAGGAUUCAUUUCCCAGCACUUCACUGAAUUCCUACUUCUUUGGCGGGGGCAACCAGAGAAGCCCAGCUACGUCCAGACAUUCAAGACAGCAUCUAUUGGAAGUUAACCGAAGAUGGAGCAUGCACGACAGGAUCAGCAUAUUGAGCAAAAUUUCUAGCAUCUGUACAAACUACCUUUCACACAUUCAAACGUGGGCGUCACAAAAGUGCAGGUUAGCUAGCCCUUCAAAAUAGAAUCGGAACACUUGAAGUUCGUGGAUGCACUACUGAACCAUCGAUCUUUAAAGCGCGUUUGGAUCCGGUGGCAAACCUCUCGUCUCGCCUUGUUUGCACAGAAGUUGGAGCAGUUGAUGAGUUUGGUUCCUUGACGUGCUGCCUAGGGACCUGUGCAAGCGAGUUUUUAGGGUGCGUUUGGUUGGGAGACAACGUAGAACGGGACGGUCCCGUCCCAGUUUUUCGGGAUGGGAUGAUCCCAUUUCUUGUUUGGUUGAAUGGGAUGGGGUCGUCCCAAUUUUUUGUUUGGUUGGAGAGAUUGCGACAGACGGGAUGAGCACCGUUUUCUUCUUCCGUUAGACACCGUUUGUGGGGCCCACUCGUCAUACUAACAACGUCUUCUUCUUCCUCCCUAUCUUCUCCUUAUCUUCUCCCGCCGGCCUUAUCUUCUCCCGCCGGCCUCCUCCGGUCCUCACCCGCAGCUCGGGACCUCGCCCCCGCCGACGUCGGGCCCCGGCCGCGUCCGCCCGCGGCGGAGCGCCCGCCCACGCCGGCCGCGCCCGCCCGCGCCGGCCGCGGCGGAGCGCCCGCCCGCGCCGGCGCGCGCUCCCCGCCGGAUCCGCCCGCGCCGCCGCCGGAUCCGCCCGCGCCGCCGCCGGAUCCGCCCGCGCCGCCGUCGGGCCCGCCAGCGCCAGCCGCGCCCGCGCCGCCGCCGGGUCCGCCCGCGCCGCCGCCGGGUCCGCGCGCGCCGGCCGCGCCGGCGGCGGGUCCGCCCGCGCUGGCAGCGCUCGCCCGCGCAAACGGCGCGUGACGGGGGCGAAGUGGGAUGCCCCCGUCCGCCACUUUUGGUGGGACGGGGACGUCCCGCAUCUGGAGGGUAUAUUCCCUCCCUGGGAUGUCCCCGUCCCACCUGUCCUCCAACCAAACGCGGGACGAAGUGGGAUCGUCCCGUCCCGUCCCACUUCGUCCUCGCAACCAAACGCACCCUUACUUGCUGAAAGCAAGCCAGCCGGAACCGCUCUCCGCCGGCGGCAAGCCUUGCCUGGCAAAGCGAGGUUAGACGCAGCUUAUGUCCAAAACCAAACGUGCCUUGGUAUCCGUCACAGGCCGGUCGCAAAUGAUAGUUUCUAUCCCUCUUAAUUAUCAUGCUAAUUAAGCAAUUUGCUGAUGUGGCAGUAGAUUUAUUAUGGGGAGAGAGAAACCAUUUCUUAGAGAGGAAACCAAAUUCUCAUGCGCACCAAUGAGCUAAGAAAUCAGCGAAUCUGCAUCGGGGAGACCCAAGUAGUUUCUUCUUACUUACUGCCGGAUCCUUUGCGCUUGCACUGCUGCUACCCAUCACUCGAGCUCCUUUACAUAAUGCACAGAGAAUCUGGUACUAGAAGGGAGAAUGAUUGGUUAAAUUUUUAUUUAGACUCUAAAUAAAAAAAGUUAUAUUAUGAAGGAUGAUUUUUUAAUACAAUAUCCUAAACUAUGGAAACUAGGUUGGUUUCUCAUGUGGGGACUGCCCUUCUGCAUCAGCGCGGCCGCCUCCGUCAUCCCGGACAUCUUCGAUCGGACCCCGUAGCACCGGGCCCACAAGAGGUAUCCCACACCCAAACCUCAGCACAGCACCGACGAUUCACCAAUUCAUUUCUCCUGCGGCCCACCUAUCCUUUCUCUCCUGUUCUCUCUCUCGCGCUAGAGAACUCCGGCAGCCUCAUGGCACCCCAACAUCCUCACGCGCGGGCGUCGCAGAUUCCCUAAGCGGCGGGCGCGCGCGCUGCCUCGAGCGCGCCUCCGGAGGCGAGCUGCUUCGGAUCGAGGCGUGCUGCGGCCGAUCCAGAUGGUUUGGAGCAGAUUGAAGCGGCUGGAGGAGUUCCUCACGGAGGAUCUCGACAUGGGGCGGAGUUCAAAUCCAGAGCUCUGGAGAUGAAGGAGCUCGAAUCGCCUCUGCCUCAAUCGCGCACCGGCAGCCCUCUCGUCGAUCUGGUUCCCUGCCGCCUCCGCAUCGAUGUGCUGCAAGUGCCACAUUUCUGCAGGGCUGCGAGGUCGUCGUGGCCGAGCAACUGGUGGGCAAGGCCACGGCGAUUGAAGAGGAACCUGGGUGCCUCCAUGAGCCGGGCGAGCACAACGCUACGCUGCCACUCGUCGGUCUCCGGCCAAAAUUGGUGAGGGGAAUAUGUUCAAAAAGCCUCCAAUUUCGUUUCCCCUUGGCAUUCCUCUCCGAUUUGGUGCAUGGGAGUCAGAACCAUUGGUGCUCCUAUUUUAACUCUUCUUCUGGCUGUGCCCGUGAGAUGGUGGUGGAAACGAUCAAUCGUGCAACUCUAACUCUUAGCUCUACAGAUACUACCCCUUUUGCCUCAUUGUUCCCUUUGAUGCUUGGUCUGUGGCUUUAGUGCUUUGUUAGACGGGUGAUUAUGAACGGAUGGGUAAUAUAUGGAUGCAAAUAUGGUUUCUGUUUUGCUAAGUGAUAAUCUAAUCAAUGGCCUAGACUGUUCUAAAUGAUCGAUUUGAUUGGAGGAGCACAGCAUCUCAUCAAGCUCUUUCUCAAUUAUUAGACCAGAAUUAGUUGAUACUUUAUUCAGCCAUGUGAUUCUUUAAUUACGUCCAACUUGGCAUCAAGGAGAUAUUACCACUUCCCCCCUUGUUACUACCAUUUCCUAACCAGAUGGGUCAGACCUGAGUGUUCAUCUAAAGUUCAGAGAAUAGUAGUGUUUUUACAAACUGGCAGGAAGGUCGUGAAAGGGCCUCUAGCCUAGUGGUUUGAGCACCAUUUGGGAGCGAAUUAAACAUGUCUGAAAUAAAAAUAUUAUAUAACUUGCUAGAAGUGUUCUGUUCACAUAUAGAUGCCAUGCAUUUUUUAUGUACAUUAAAUUUGAUGUGAUAUUAGUCAGAACUAGUGUAUGAUUUAUAAGAGCUUCUCAACUGUAGUUUUCUAGUUCGAUGUGCUUCAGUUUUCUGGAACUAAACUACUGGACAUGAUUCUGCAUGCUGAAAGCAGUUAGAACUAUUUUUUACUUGUAGACUUUGUAUUUUUGUUGGUGAUAGCUGUUUAGUUCUGUUCUUAUUUGUCUCCAUUGGUAAUCUGAGUACACAGCUGUGUAACUGUGAGUUCUUAUUUGUUAGCAAAAUGUGUUGGUUUCCUGUGGCUUAUCAAUGCUUUUUGUCUGUUAUGAAUGUUUGAUGACUUCGCACUGAUGUUCUCCAAUAUGUAAAUUGAAAUAUACAUAUUUUAAGCUAUGGAGCUUGCAUAGGCCUUGAUGGUCUACCUCCUACCUAGAUUAAUCUUUGUUGGAGAGGGGUGGGGUUUUUUCUUCUUUCUUUUUGUGUUGAUUGUUUUCUAAAUGCAUUACUGUAUAUAUGUACUACUUAUCCACUAGACAGGUCCAAUUUUGAAAUAUAUGCAGUACAGCUGGAGCUCAUCUGAUUGUUUUUUUCUAUAGUUACGCAUUUUAUCAUUUUAACUUAGGCAAAGUUAUUGUUUUAGAUAGGCAAAGUACUGUUCUUAACUAAGCAAAUAUGAUUUUAUUCAAUUAAGCAAAUUACUGUUGUCUCUAGUUUGGCAUUUCACCUGUUUAAGUUAGGCACAUUUAUUCUUUCAGCUAGGCAAAAGUACUAUACUAACUAGGCAGAUCUUAUUUUUUAAUUAAGCAAAACAUUGCCUUGUCUAGUUAGACAUUUUUACUUGUUCCAGUUAGGUAGAAUUUUUCUGCACUUGGGAAUUCUUCUUCUUAUGCUUUGGUAGUUUUCAUUUCAUUGCCAUGUUCCGUCCUGACAUGGAAAUGUUCUUCCCUGUUGUCAACCUAGCACACAGGAAAUCAUCAAGUGUUCUUCCCUGUUCAGUCCUAACAUGGCAACAUAAGCCGGAGAUAUCAUUCAGUUGCUGGAAUGGGAAGCCACUGCCUAUGUACGAACAACCACCACUACAUCAUCUCAGACAAGGUGAGUGCACUUUGCAAUCUGGUUUCGACUCCUUGGCUUCCGCCAUAUUCAUUGCCUAAUACUAUACUGAACCUCUGCCAUCCAUUGCACUGCAUCAGAAUAGAUAGCCUGUGUGGAGUGUGUGGAGUGUGUUGCACAUGUACGAUGAUGCCAAGUAAAAGCAAUUAAUAUGAGCUACUGUAAGUUCUGACAACUAGGAGUGUGUUGCUACUCCAAUUAACUUCAUGAUAGUGCAAUAUAGAGUAUACUGCCUGAUGCUAUGUGCAUGAAAUUUAAUGGUGUUAGAAAAUGCAACCUUUUCCUGCAGGAGCAAAAGGUGGCAUUGACCAUCAAACUUAAGCUGCAGCCAAGGCUGGUGGAGGGCUAGGUACGUAUAACUCAUUUAAACAUCUCUUCCUUAUACUUAAAAUGCUUUUGCUAGUUCACUUAUGUUUCAAAUGCUUCAGAUGCACGUUAGGUUUCAAAAGCUUGUUUAGAAACACAUAAUCUGUAUUGUAGUCUUGGUCAGAUAAAUAUGCACUUUGCUUUAGAUUGGUGUGCCUUCACUUAUGUAGUUAUUUACUUUUCACAUGUCAUAGAAUCUGUUUUUGUAUUUUUUGUUGCAACUCAUUAUAUAUCUUGUAACACACACAGACUAUGUGCUUCUACAAAGGGGCAUUUUGUAUAAUCUGUACAAUGCUGUCACAAGGGGUUGUUUUGGUUUUACUCAUAACCGGUAUGCAUAUGGGGUGGUCCAGUUUAGAAUCUAAGCAAUUUACUAAGCAAUUUAGCGUAUACAUGCCAAGAAUUUUAUAUGAAAUUGGAAGCAAUUUCAUAUGAGCCACUAUGCAAUUGUGCUUAUGAGCCACUAUGUAGUAUUUGGCUAUCCUGUUAGUACCUCUACGUCUGUUAGUUCUGAAUAAUCGAAGUUAGAGAUAUUAGCAAUUCUACAAUGAAGCAUUGUAGGUUGUGCAACAUACAUGCUGUCACACUGUAGUCUUUUUUUUUUUCAUUACAUUGCAGGUCAUGUGCAUGGAAGCAAAUAUCAAGUACCAAACAGAGAAGCAAAUGUGUUUGCUGUUGUCCUAGUAGUACAUAUUGCAAAUACGAGUGUAUUAGUUACGGACAACGCAUUUUUUCCUGUGCUUCUGGUGUGUACAUUUUUCCUGAUUGUGUAGUUAUGAAAAUGAAUGCUAGUGUGAUGCAGGCAAUAACAUGGUAGGAUCAUUUCUGAGAUGAAACGUGCAGGCAUCAAUAUUUUUUUUGUCGUAUCCAUUACGGGGAGCUGGCAAGUGGCAGCGCUGAGGGAGGUUGGGGGAGUGCAUGCACCGAGGACAGCUUUUACCCGAAUAGGAAUGCUUGGGGACUGCUCUUUUAAUUAUUGCCUAAAAGGGUCAGGCCGUACUAGCGGCCUAAUUUACGGCGCUUCCAAUAUAAAAUAGAUUUUAAAUACUGGAAGUUUAUAAGGAAAAAAACUAUCGGAGGAAUCUUGGCGGAUUUGGAUUCGUUGCUGACAAGUUGGAUUGGCUAGUUUUGGAGGUAGAUUGGUUGCUAUGAUUAUUUAUGUGCGGAUUUUAUUUGGACUUCGCCCACUAUCCGGUUUACAAGGAUAUGACUUAAAUGGACAUUAUUUUCUUUAUAAAAAUAUGAAUUUGUUUAUUUUACUAUUCAUGGGGAUGUUGUAAAUGUGUACAUACUUCAACGGAUUGUUAUUCAGGACAAGGAAGAUAUAUUGAAAAUGUGACAUUAUUGAUUUUUUAUGGUUUUCUAGUUAUAGCUUGAUUACUUUUUUAUGAAACUAAAUAAUGUAUGUAGCUAUACAUAGCAUUUGAAUACAAACCGGAAAUUUAAAUUUUUAUGUUUCCAAACUAACUAUUUUGAAAAGUGUUGACGGCCAAAGUGCGUCUAGAUCCACUACCAGAAAUCUUUUGACCGAUAAAAAUUUGAUGAUGAAUGUCAAAACGUCAUAAAUUUAUGAUUUUUUUUGCUGAGAACAUCAUCAGUUCUCAUCAAAUAUUUGCAUCCGACCAAAUUUAGUGAUGAAGUUAUCAGACGUCAAAAAAGUUGCCAUCGAAACCAAAUAGAAAACACCACUUAUUGUUACACGGUGGUUUUGUGAUGAUUUCAAGGUUUGCAAAAAUACCAUAAACUGAUUAGGAUCCCACAUGUAAGGUUAAGUUGAAAAAUAGGAUGGAAAAAUAAGGUGAAAGGGUGCUCAUCCCGGUGUCGAACCUGUUAUCCAUCAAUUGGGAACUGUUGAGCCAAUAGCUAUGCUGGAGCCGUUUGUCAGUUUGUAUCCUUAAAAAAAUUUAUUAUAGUAGUAGAUGAGCCGUGCAUACUCACAUCUAAGUAUAUCAUGAGUUGCUGCAAUAUAUUUUGAUACUUGAUGUGGGAAAAGCCCGCCUAGAGAAAAUCGGCAUGCUUGGGAUGAGAAAAGCUCCCGCUCCCUGGGCAAAUUGGCACGCAUAUCUGCGGCUCAGUAGUGUAGUGGCUCGGUGGAAAUGGCACAUGGAGUUAGAAUGGAAAAGGAAACAAACUCCAAUCAGGUGAGCUUCUAGUUCCAAUUGUUGUGGCCUCUUGUCCCCAUUGUCCUUGACUACGGGUUAUCCUACUGUAGAUCUGGGUUGAAGAAACUACAUUUCAAUUUUAUGAUGCUGUUAGGUUUUAAUUUGGAUUGGUGGUAUGAAUUGAUAGGUUCUACGGUCGCUUGGAGUCAUUGAUAGCUUCAGAACGGGGUCGCCUGCCCAUGCCAUUACCUUUAUGCAUCCUAAAUAUGAGUGAUUGUUGAUUCAAAAUUAAUUGUCGAUCCUUGCAAAGAUUGGCCAUGUAUAGAUGUCAUUGACAAAGAUCCAAAUCGGUUGUCUAAGCCCGAAGUGUGGAUCCAAAGUUUUCCAAUAACAACGUAGAAACCACUUCUAGUAUGCCUAUACUCGACAGGCGGUGCAACAAGUUCAAACUGGAGAUGUUAAAGCUGAAAAAAACUUGAAAUUGGUGUUUGGAAAACUAUUGAAUCCAAAGGCCAUAGCAAGCAUAAAAAGAAAAAGCUGAAGCCAAAUGAGAAGCUUUCGGCUAGUUCCAAAGACAAAAGAAUGUCAAUAUGCUAGUUGGCCUAAAAAUUCCAAGCACUCAAAAUCUUAUCCAAGGCAAAAUUUCCAUGGUCAGAAUCAACAAUGGAAUAAUUUUCCUACAUCAAUGUUGUUUCCUUCACAUGGAUCACCUACACCAAUGCCGUGGGGUUCAUAUUGUAGCAUAUCUUAUUCUUAUCCAUCAUGGUAUUAUAAUUCAUGUAUGCCACCUUUUCCUAGAUAUUUGUGCCCAAAUUAUAUUACCUACAGGGAGCCGGCAAUUAAUGAGCCACCACAAAUAGAUAAUGACAAUUUUGACAAGGAAUCAGUCUACGUACCGAAAUAAAUGUAAGGUGAUUAAACAAGUCUAUAGUGUCAAGAAAGAUGGUAGAUUGAAAAAAACUUAGAUUUGAUACUAGACACAAAAAGCUGACUAUUGAAGAAAAAUUGGCCAGUUCUAUUGAUCCAAUUGUCCCCAAUAAUGAGCAUGAUUUGAAUAAUAUAGCUGAACAGAAACAAAGUUCGGUUGGGGGCAAGAUGAUAUCAAAGUGUCUAGUUUUACCAAAACUAGUCCAACCAGUGUUGAAACCUAUCCAACCGGUUUUGAUAGGAAUUAUAGAAAAAACUGAUUUUACGAAAAACCAGUCCAACAGGUGUUGAAACCGGUCCAACCGGUGUUGCUACGAAUUAUAGAAAAACUGAAAAUUUCAGAUCAAACAACAUGGUGAUAAGGAAGAAGCUAAGAUUUGAUGAUCUGUUACAUAAUAUCAGAAAAUAGCCUCCCAAAAUCAAAACAAUCAGUUUGAGAGCAAUCAAAGGAGGAAUUUUUCGUCAUCAAGAGCAAAGAAGCAUCAACGGUCAUCUUAUUGGUCUUCAUAAUUUUCUCCAUCGAUGCUUGUACCAUAGAGUGCAUAUCUAAGUAUAAGUAAUUAUAAUCCAUAUUUUUGGUACAAUCCUUGAUUCUCAUUUUAUGAUUAUCAAUAUUAUGCUUAUACUUUACCAAGGAGCUAUAAAUUAUAUGAUCGGCUACCAUGGCCGCAUCAAAAUUUCUAUUAUUAAGUAUGCUUAGAUGUUUCAAAGCUGAAAGUAACUGUUUCAUAAAUAUUCAUAUGAUGUUGUACUCGUUAGAAUAUUAUUUUGGCUACAUUAGUAUCCAUAUAAGGUGUAAAAAUCAUCAUGUGUGUGAUGUAUUGUUCAUCAUCGUUCUUAGAUAAUUUUGAUCAUUAAGAAUGUUUUGUGAUGUGCAAGCUUUACCAAAAAAUAGGGAGCCAUGCGUGGAUGAUCAAAAUUGAAAGAUUUGGGCUAACCGAUCUCUAAACCGGUUAGACCAGUUUGAUUGAAAAUGCUCAAAUUGUAAAUAGGAUUUCACCAUUGUGUAUCUCUCAUCGAAACCAUCAAAAUGCAUAUGUAGAACAUCCGAUUUGGAGUUCGGAUAAGAGAGUUAUACUCUCGGGAAGAUCUGCAUGCGAGGAAAGACGUCAGACCGGUUUGCAAACAAGUCAGCCCGGUUUGGUCUGUGUAGUCUAAGUUAGGAGUUAUAUUUUAACAUGAGAUUUGUAAGGAUUUUCAACUCCUAACGGGGCAAGACCGCCCAUCCUUAUAAAUAUAAAGGGCUACGGCCAAUUGAGGCCAUCCCAAUCGAUAAAAAACUAAUUUAUUACUUUUUAUCCUUUACUUUUCCACUUUCCCCUACUUUUCCAACCCAUGCGCUGUUCUUCUCUUGUCUCAAUGGUAUGAUAAGACGUCCUACCUGGCGUGCUGAGCCUAGGGCAACUCAAGGUGUACCUGGUGCGACGGGCCCUCCCGGGCGUGCGUUCGUUGGCCCUUCAUCGAGCUCCCCAAUGAAAUCGGUCUAACCGGCUUGUCAAAUCUGACUGACUGGUUUGGCAUAGAGGUACUGCAAGGAGCUCCUCUGAGCGUUGCACGAGUAUUUGGCGCAGCACAUUUUCAUAUUAACAGUGACUUUCCUGUGAGUAUUUCAAUGGAUUGACAUGGGAAGUGUAACUAUAGAUUUGUUAACCGAGGCUUUGGACUUGGCCUUGCCGAUGAAUUCGACAAGAAAAAUAGCAAUGUAACACAAGAGGGAAGAUCAGCUAUGACAUUGCCAUCGUAUAUGACCUGAAAGACUAUCUUGAUGGCUUAUGGAAAAUUUUUAUUUACCAAAAAAUUAUACUGAACAAAAGAAUUUCUUUCACGACAUCACCCCGCAAACAUGAGAAGGCCCGGAGACAUGGCCUACGGCUACCAUUGCAUGAUUAAAACUCUCUGAUAGAAAUUCACCUUAUUACAAGACAAAUAAAAUUGGAUUUCUUUAAAUAGAAAAACUAUAUUUCUAUAUAAGGUAUUCUCUUUUCACGGCUUCAUGUUUCACGUCACAAAAUAUAACGAUAAAAAUGACGAUGAUGUGGUCAAGACCAUUCGGAAAAAGAAAAUGAACUGUUUGAAUUUUUUUAAAGUAAAAAAGGAGUCUAAAUGUUAGCAUGAAAAAAUCUAGCUACCCGCACAAAUAAUAAAAUCCAAGCUUAGUGAGAUGCUUUGGGUUGAGCAGGGGGUAUCUUAUUGGAAUAAAUAUCUUUAUUAAAUAUAACAUGCCAAUAGUUUGUGGUCUUUAUAUUAUUACAGAAUUACAGAAUGCUUAAACAGCCAAGAAGUUCCACUUGAUCUUUACAUCAAGCCUUAUUCGAAAAGAAAACAUGAACGAAAGCCAAGGUGUGAAUCAUAAAGAAACACAUCCACAUGCUGGUGCCUUUACAGCACUCUGCAGCGAGCGAAGCAGAGCACCCUAGCCAGUGUUCUGCAUGCCGGCGGCGAUGCCCUUCAUGGUGAGGAUGAGCGUGUCCUCCAGCCCCGGCCCGUACUCGCUCGCCGGGUUGAGCUUCACAAUCCCGCGCGGCUGGUUCUCGUCGGCGAACUCCUUGGACAGCGGCGGCUGCGGCGUCACCUUGAAGUUCGGGUCCCUUAUCCUCUUCAGGGUGUAGGCCUGCCACACGUUAAGAAUGGUGAUGUAGGGGUCGCGCAGCCGCAGCUGCUGCUUCAGGCCGGGAUCGCUUUCAAGGAUUUCCUUGUGCCCAGCAACCUGCACAAAGAUGGUGAGUAGUCAGGAUUUCCUUGUGCCCAGCAAUCUGCACAAAGAUGAAAUUCAUUCAUAUGAGUUUUAAUUUAUUACCUGCAGGAUAAGCUUCUCUGUUUCCACGUAGUUGUUCCUGAGCUGCUCCCCGAAUGGCUUGAGUUCGUCGGCGACGAGCAGCUGGUCGUAGAGGCCGGCGAUGGUGGGGUCUCCCUUGGCUAAGACCAUCUCGAGCAGGUCCAGGGUGACCCUGAAGAAUGGCCACUCGUUGUACAUCUCCUUGAGCAUCUGGAAGUUCUUGAUAUCCUUCUUCAUGGCGUGCUUGAACGCGGCGCCGAACCCGAGCCACACCGGGAGGUGGAACCUCGUCUGCGUCCACGAGAAGAUCCACGGGAUCGCGCGGAGCGACUCGAUGCCGCCCUUCGGCUUCCUCUUCGCCGGUCGGCUGCCGAUGUUCAACCUGCCGUACUCCGUCUCCGGGGUAGCCGACCGGAAGUACUCCACGAACCGGGGCUCCCUCAUGACGACGGAGCGGUACUCAUCGGUGGCGACGGCGGCGAUCUCGUCCAUGAGCGCGCGCCACUCGGGCUUGGGGGAGACCGGCGGGUGCAUGCCGUGCUCGAGCGUGGCGGCGGUGAAGCGCUGCAGCGUCCGGAAGCAGAGGUGCUCUUCGCCGAAGGAGGUUUCGAUGACCUCGCCCUGCACCGUCACACGGAGGGACCCGUUGAUGGUGUCCGGCGGCUGGGACAGGAUGGCGAGGUGAGUCGGCCCGCCGCCCCUGCCGACGGUGCCGCCGCGGCCGUGGAACAUGGUCAGCUUCACGCCGUAGCGCUUCGCCACCUUCGCCAUCUCCUCCUGCGCCUUGUACAGGUGCCACGCCGCCGACAGCCGGCCGGCGUCCUUGCCGGAGUCCGAGUAGCCGACCAUCACCUGCUGCUUGCCGCCGAUCCGGUUCAUGUACCAGUCCAGGGAGAAGAGCCGCUCUAUGGACGCCGGCGCCGACUGCAAGUCGGCGAGCUUCUCGAACAGCGGGACCACGGGCAGCGGCUGCUUCACGUGGCACUCACGCUGCAGGAGCUCGACGGCGAGCACGUCGGAGGGCGCCGUCGCCAUGGAGAUGAUGUACGGGCCGAAGCUGUCGCGGGGCAGCUCGGCGAGGACGUGGAAACAUCCGAGCACGUCGGCGAUCUCCUCGGUCUGGGGCAUGUCCUUGCUCAGCAGUGGCCGCUUGCCGCGGAGCUCGGAGAGCAGCCACUCCUGGCGCUUCUCCUCGGACCACUCGCGGUAGGACCCGAUGCCGAGGUGCGUGGUGAUCGCGUCGAUCACGUCUGUGUGACGCUCCGACUCCUGACGGAUGUCCAGCUUCACCAUGGAGAGCCCGAACGUCGAGACCUGCCGCAUGAAGUCGAGCAGGCUCCCGUCGGCGAUGGUCUUGUCACCACAGUCACACAGGGAUUUGUAGCACAGCUCAAGGGGCUCCAGGAACUGACCAAAUUUGAAGGGUUCCACAGUGACAUUAGUUAAACUAUAUUAUGAUAAGGAGCAUGACAUUAACAAAUAACAAUGUUUAUGGAACCCUCAAAAUAACAAGAGGAGCAUGAUGCCGGAUUACCUCUUCAACAUUCUUAAAGGCCGAGUCCUCCGGAAUGUCAGAAAAUCCACUAGUUAGCAGAUGGCGCGAGCGUUCGCGUGUGCUGUACAAUUUGUCCCUCACAUAACCAAGCACCACGCGAUACGGUUCACUUGCAGGAAGUUGCCUCCAGAAUUCUGCACCAACGAAUUCUCUUCAGAAAAUUGGCAAACUGACAAGGCUGAUUCGUGUUAACAUCAUAGAGACUCCUCUUAAAGCCUCCACAUGAAGGCACCUAGGAUUCUAGGUGGGCACUUCAAAAAAAAGAAAAAUACUAGAAAUUUUCAAAAAAGCAAAACAUCUAGCCAUCUAUUCAGUAGACUUAAAUCAUCCAAUUCAUUGAACUAUUAUGUUCCUGCCAUUAUGAAAAUAGUUUAAAGUAACCCCCUAAGUAUAUAUCUAAAUUACCCACGUAUGCCAUUACAUAAAAUAAAUUAAAGUACACCUAAUCUUCGUCUAAAUUACCCACUUAUACCAUUAUUAAGAAUAGUUUAAAAUAACCCACUAAAUUUGUUUCAAAUUUCCCACCACUAACAUUAUAAAAAAAAAUAACUUAAAGUAAAUCCUUAAGUUUACAUCUAAAUUACUCACAUAUUCCAUGUUUAAAAAUAUAUCCCAAGAUACACCAAUAUAUUAUUCUAAUCAUUAAGGUAUAUACGCAUGAUGUGUGUCACCAUUUAUAAAUAUAUAGAGGAAGUGAUAAGAAUACAUAUUUUCAUGUUAAAAAUAUAUCUCAAACUUAGGUUCCAUUAAACAAAUUUAAGAAUGUAUAUACGGUGCAAGUGAAACAAGAUAUUAUAAAUAUAGAUGAAAAUGUUAUAGAGUAAUUACUACUAAAAUCUUUUAUAAUCCGAUGAAGAUAAUAAAUAUUAGAAUAUUAAAAAAUGAGAGUGAGGUCAAGGUAACAGUUUUGAGUGUUUAGCUAUGUGCCUUAUUUUUUUUAAUUGAAGAAUCUGCAUUAAUCCCCAUGAGACGCAAUAGGAAAAAGAUAAAUCCAACAAAUUAUCACAAAAAUUGAAACAUCCACGUAUCAAUCUGGUAGACAAUCUAUCAUUAUGAAAAAUAUUCUAAAGUAAACCCCUUAGUCUAUAUCUAAAUUACCCACAUCUACCAUUAUAAAAAUAAUCUAAGGUAACUCCAUAAUCUUUAUCUAAAUUACCCUUGCAUAUCAUCAUAAAAAAUAAAUUAAAAUACUCUUCUAAAUUUGUAUCUAAGUUACCAGCCUAUGUUGUUAUUAAUAACAACCUAAAGUAAUUAUCUGUGUGGUCAUUAUACAAAAUGUCCAAAAGUAACCCAAUAUAUGAUACUAGACAUUUCUAUCAUUGUUAAUAUAGAAAUACAAAGUUAAUGUAUAUAUGCAUGAUGGGUGUUACCAUGUAGAACAUUUAUACAUGUAUGAGAGAAAGUGAUGAAAACUACAUGAUUUUCAGGUUAAGUACAAUAUAUGGAGUGAGAUGCAAAGUGAAAAAACGUACGAAUAUGAAUGAAAAAGUAUAUAGAGUAAUUACUAAUUAAAAGUUAAUCACAACCCAACAAAGACAAAUGCACAUCUAUAUGAGUAUUGGUGUUAGAAUAUUAAAUAAACGAGAGGGUCAUAGGUAAAAAGUUUGAUUACUUACUAGGGUGUCUAAUUUUUAAAUUACUUCAUAAUACAAUGGCUUCUAAAAUUAUUAAUCCAUGCAAGAGCACGGAUUGAUGGUCCAGUUAUUCAAAUUUGAAUAGACUAGUGGAGACUUUGCAAAAGCUUGUAUGGAAAACUAUUCUAUGAUUAGGUGAUACAAACAAACAUAUCGAUUAAAUAUGUAUAUAUCUUCAAAAAGGACUGCAAAUUGAGGCUAAAAUUAGUUUGUUUGAGUUACCAAUAUAAUGCUUGGAAAUUUUCUGUGAAGCAGCGUGAAGUUCUUCCGCUCGAGCACGGAGUUCGUCGUUGCAGCGCCACAUAGAGAGCUACAGAUAUAUCAGAUGAGACUAGCAACAAUAGGUAAUACUAGAUGAGCAUUAGGAAGCAUGAAUCAAACACAUUUCUACAAUACCUCGAACAUCAAUUCUUCUAUCUGAGAGAAGUACAAGUUUGACGCCAUCAUUCUUGCAAGCAAGCAUACAUCCCUUGUCACCUCUGGCGUAACUCUUGGAUUUCCUACAGAAACCAAACGUAUGGAGACUUGAAGGGGAAAACAAAUGCUAGGAACACUAAAAAUAGUCAUCACUCAUCACUAAUUACUUAGACGCAAUCCGAAUACUUUUUUCUAGAGAAAACUAGAGUAUCACAUCAAGGAAAUUAAAAAGAAUUAAUUGAUAAUCCACUGCCACAAAAAUGUGUUCCGGAAUCAGAAGAUCAUUCGCAUCUGCAAAGGAGGAUUUACCAUCGCGGUCGCCACCCAUCCAAGAAGAGAACUGAAUGAGAGGAGCAUUGUAGGGGAGACGCUCAUCAAUCCCGAUGUUCUUUAGAGCUGUAUCCACACGUCGCAAAAACUUUGGGACACCCUUCCAUAUAGUUUCAUGAAAAUAGCUCAUCCCGUAACGCAUUUCAUCCUGUGGGGUUGGUUGUGCUCUCCGAAUUUCGUCUGUUCUAAAACAUGCUUGGAUCUGCGAAGAGCAAACACCAGGCAUUAGAACGAAUUGAAAUUCCCGAAGCAUUAAAAAACAAGAUCUUCACCCUGCCCUAGUUCAAGUGGACUGGAUCAUGGUGAAAUAAAAUAUGUGAAAGGUAACACUAGUAAUUUAGCAGAUUUCCAGUAAAAGAAUUCAAAAAUCUCUAUUGAAGUACUCAUAUAAUGAAAACCGUAUGGCACAGUGGAAAGAAGACAAUGUAAUAACACGACAGAACCAUAGCCGUAGGAUAAAAUUUUUACUGUUUUUAAAUGGCAGGGUAGUAAUAAUUGUGUAAACAAAAAAAUAGUACUAUUGUGUGUUUCUUAUUUGGACUUGAAGGAAUCAAUAAAAAAAUUGUCAGAAACUUUGAAGAUAUUUUAUACCAAUUGCAGUGAGCUAGUUCCUUUGAGCAAGCACGAGUUCACUUUAAUCUUACUACCAACCUUUGGUACCAAUACUUUUCACCAGCUAAUAGAACGAUUUGAUAUUUGAACAAUCUUACUAUAUAAAUUGGAAGCUCCUUUCAAAGUCGCAAGGUGAAGCCACCUAGGAUACUCUAAAAAAGAGAGAAAUUCUAGAAAUUCUUACAAAAUUAGAUGUUUCUAGCCAUCAAUAUGGUAGACUCUAAUCACAAUUGAUGAUAAUAGCCAUUGGAUCUAUUACAUUUAAAAAAAAACCCACCCAUGCUAUUAUGAAAAGAGUUUAUAACCCUCUAAAUCUACAUAUAAAUUCCUCCAAAUGAGCCAUAUCAUGUGAUGCUUGGUUAUGUAAGAUAAAUUAAUUCCUCCAAAUGAGCCAUAUCAUGUGAUGCUUGGUUAUGUAAGAUAAAUUGUACUACUCAUGCAAACGUUCGCGCCAUCUGCUGACUACUUGAUUUUCUGACAUUCCGGAGGACUCGGCCUUUAGCAAUGUUGCAGAGGUAAUUCGACAUCAUGCUCCUUUGUGAUUUAAGUGUUCCAUAAAUAAAUUUUCUUUGGAAGCUUCUCAUCAUAGUAUGAUCAUCUUACCAUUACUAAUUGAAAGCUCCUUUUGAGGCCUUCACAUGAAGCCACCUAGGAUCCUAGGUGGACACUCUAGAAAAAUACAGAAAUCCUAGAAAUUCUAUCAAAAAAGAAAAACAUCUAGCCAUCAAUUAGGUAGACUGAAAUUAUCAUAGACAUUAAAUCUAUUAUAUUUUCUAAAAAAUUACCCACCCUAACAUUAUAAAAAUGUCUAAAGAAACCCCCUAAAUCUAUAUCUAAAUUACUCACCACUACCAUUUUAUAAAAUAAACUAAAUUACCCCUAAUCUUCAUCUAAAUUAUCCACUUAUGCUAUUAUAAUUUUUUAAAAUAUUUCCAUAAAUUUGUAUUUAAAUUGCCCACCACUAACAAUAUAAAUUAAAAUUAAAAUUAAAGUAACCCCUUAAAUUCACAUCUAUAUUACCCACAUAUCCCAUUAUCGAAAAUAAUAUGAGGUAAACCUAAAUCUAAAUUCAAAUUAUAUCCAUUAAAAUAUAUCCUCAUGGUACACCAAUAUAUGAUUCUAAAUUAUCUAUUUCUUACAUUGUUUAUAUAGAAAAUAAUAAUUAAGCUAUAUACGCACAUGAUGUGUAUCGCUGUUUAUAAAUAUAUACAGGAUGUGUGUCGCCAUUUAAAAUAUAUUUCCAUGUUAAAAAUGUAGAUCAAACUUAGGGUCUAUUAAACAAAUUCAAGCAUAUACCUACAAUGCAAAGUGAAAAAUAAAGAUUAUAAUGUGGAUGAAAGCUUUAUAGAGUAAUCAUUAACUAAAGUCUACCAUAAUCGGAUGAACAUAAUAAGUACAUACCUAUAUAAGUAUUGUAUUAGAAUAUUUAAUAAACUGGAAAGUGCUUAAGGUAACAAUUUUGAUUGUUAGCUAGGUACCCUUAUUCUUUAAUUGGAGACUUCGUAUCAAUUCUCAUGACACGCACUAGCAAAAAAAGAUAAAUCCUACAAAUUCUCACAUAAAAGUGAAACAUUUAGGCAUUAAUCGUGUAGACUCUAAUAAUCAUAGUCAUUGGUCUAUUAUAUUUUCUAAAAAAUUAUCCAACACUAUGAUUAUGAAAAUAUUGUACAAAUUCUCCCUAAACCUAUAUCUAAAUUAUCCAUCUCUACCAUUAUAAAAAAAUAAUCCAAUGUAAUCCCAUAAUCUUCGUCGAAUUAUCCAUUCAUGUUAUUGUGAGAAAUAACUUAAAUAUCUUCUAAAUUUGUAUUUAAAUUAACACAUACGUGGUUAUUAAAAAUAACCUAAAGUAAGUACCUAAAUCUACAGAAAUAUCCAAAAUAAAAAAAUAUGAUUCUAAAUUACCUAUUCUACCAUUAUUAAUAUAGAAAUACUAAGUUAAGGUAUAUAUGCAUGAUGGGUGUCACCACAUGUAGGCGAUUUAUAAUCGUAUCAAUGUAUGGGAGGAAGAGAUGAAAAAUAUUGAUUUUCAUGUUAAACACAAUGUAUGGAAGUGCGAUGCAAAGUGAAAAGAUAUGAAUGUGGAUGAAAAAGUGUAUAGAUUAAUUAACUGGACAAAGAUAAGGACACAUCUAUAUGAAAUUUGUGUUAGAAUAUUAAAUAAAUGAGAGUGUCCUAGCUAAAUAAUUUUGAUUAUUAGAUAGAGGGUCUAGUUUUUAAAUAGUUUUCUAAUACAAUGGCUCUUAAAAAUGUUGACGUACGAAGAAUUUUUGGGCCCACUAACUUACACGUGUCAUGCUGAACGUCAUGGGCUCACAAGUCCACAUAUUGUGUUCUAUACUAUCUUUAUCAGAAGAAGAAUUUAACGACAAAAAGAGAUGGGCAGUCCCUCUUCAGCCUCACAUGCAUGGGAGAAAUGUCAGAAUGGCCUGUCUGGCACCCUGGCAUGGCACUUGUAUGAUGCAACCGAGCAAGAACAAGAGUGAAAAGGAGGGCCUUAAUGGUGAUAACAACACUGCCGUAAUAUCGAUUGCAAUAACAUGAUCGUUUUCUUGGAAUUCAUUAGGUAAACAAAGUCAGAGCCUCAAAUUUGCAGGAAUUAUCUUGAUUCACUAUGCAAAAGUUUUGAUGUUCACUAGUGUUGAAAUGUAAGUACCUCCCUCUGCAGAGCCUCGUCGAGCUCCUGCUUAUCGUCCUCCGUGAUGUCCUUGGCAUACAGCUGCGUGAGGCAGUUCCGGAUCCUGCGUGCAAGGACAAGACGAACAUUUCCGUUCCGUAAUAAUGAAGAAAUGGAUUGGAAUUGUUCACGGAUUUGGAUGCAGAAUAAUGACCCGUGUACCUGGCGUGCUUCUGGAGGAGCGACCUUCGGACGGACUGCGUGGGGUGGGCGGUGAAGACGAGGUCGACGGUCUGGUUCUUGAGCGCGUCGAAGACCUCCUCCUUGGACUUUCCGAGCUCUGUGACGAGGCGCUUGAGCGUCUCCUCGAUGUCAGACUCGGUGGCAGCGAAGCCCUCGUCGGCGAAGUCCCCGCGCUUGAGCUUGUUCCGGCGGAGGUGGGCGAGCUGCACCUCCUCCGCGAGGUUUGUUAGGUUGAGCAUGUUCGAGAAGGAGCUCGCCACGACGAUGGCGUCAUUGGGGGACAGCUUGGUGAGCCUGGACCCGAGCUCGCUCAGCUUCGCGGCGUCGCGGUCGCGCUCGU